RNAcentral lists this long non-coding RNA (56764 nucleotides) under Triticum aestivum (bread wheat). Lineage: Eukaryota; Viridiplantae; Streptophyta; Magnoliopsida; Poales; Poaceae. The record is from RNAcentral.
UAUUAAAUUAAGUAUUAAUUAGGUGUUAGUCUAGUGCCGUAUCCCUUACUAUCUUACCCUUCCUUUGCAUCCCACUCAAAAAAAGAGGGCGCUCCGGAGGCAGAAAUAGAACUCGCCAACAGAGCUCCAAAAAUGGGGUAUUAACUGAGACAAACAACGGGCAAACUUUUUUUAAAGGGAAGAGAGAGGUAGACUGUCCCUUUCGUUUCAUUUUUAUUUUCUGCAGGGUAGGGAGAAGCCUUGCGCCUUCUUUUUUUGAAGGCAAGUGACUUCGCAAACUGCUCAAUUUUGCCCUCUAGGGCCGGGAACUAAUGAAUAAAAAAGGGUUGGAUACGCCCCUCUACCAUAUCUAGAGAAAUAGAAUAGUCCUUUUAUAUAGACUGCUAAGUGCGGAGACGGGAAUCGAACCCGUGACCUCAAGGUUAUGAGCCUCGUGAGCUACCAAACUGCUCUACUCCGCUCUGGAGUACCAGAAACUAGUGGACAAAAAAGGCUUGAAUACAAGCCUCUAACAUGUCUAGACAAAGAGAAUACUCCUUUUAUACAGAAUGGAGCGGGUAGCGGGAAUCGAACCCGCAUCGUUAACUUGGAAGGCUAGGGGUUAUAGUCGACGUUGGUUGAUUGUUUUUAACGUCUCUAAUUCAAAACCGAACAUGAAAUUUUGAUUUCAUUCGGCUCCUUUAUGGAUAUUCUCACCACUUAACAUCUAUGUCAGCUUUUCUAUUUGAAUGGAACCAAAGCUCUCCGCUUUCUAGAUGAUCCUUAUAGAGUAGGAGAUAGAAAUUCUAUCUAAAUCCAUCUAAUCUACUUACUUCAUUCCCUAAUUUCAUUCAAGAGAUCCUGAGGAAAAGAAUUGGGUUUCCACCCAGCUGAAACAAUAUGCGGAUGGUUCUAGUAAACCAAAACUAUCAUUUUUUAGCUAUUUGGCUUCCUUAUUCCUUAUUUUAAGAAGAUAUAGUUACGAUUGGAAAUCAACUUUUUUGUAUCUUCAUCCAUAGACCCUUUACUCAUAUUUUCAAAAUUGGAAUACUUAAUCCAAUGCAAAAUUAUGCUUCGCGACUCUGUACUCAUAAUCCUAAUUUUAUUUUGGAUGCAAUUUAAAUUAGUCUUUGGAUACAAAUCGCCAGAAUGUAUAUUCUUCCUCAAUAUGCUAUUGAGAGGAAAAUGAUUUAAUCCUUUAUAAGAACUAAAGUUUUUAUCGGAAUAUAAAAAUAAAAAACUUAAGGAUGCCUUAAGUAUAUCAUUUCAAAUUCAGUUAUUAUAUAGAACGAAUCACACUUUUACCACUAAACUAUACCCGCUACAUUGUAGAUUAUGGUAUAAAUGGUACCCUUUGUCAAGGAUAGCCAUUUGACAAGAAGGCUAAUUCCCCCUUAUUGAAUCAGAUGGAGAAGGUUCAUGACACUGAGCCGUUGGUACUUCUACUUCGAUCGCUCGCCUUUACUUUAGGAUUUAGAUAGCCCCUCUGGUUUGUAAAAAAAAUCUUUUCUUACCAUGCUAAUAGCGCCUGAACCAAAUGUAUUUAUUUUGAUUAGGAUCCUAUUCUACGGUUACGACUACAAUAAUAAUUAUUUACUUUGCAAGGACGUAAGUGUGUCAGACUGCUAAAUUGUUUUAUUAUUCCUACAAUAUAAACUAGGGGAUAUAGGGGGUAACACUGUCCCUAUAAAUUCCUUUUUCCUUUUAUUUUUUGUCCAGAAUUGAACAAAAAAGAAAUUAUGGAAGAUGUUUUCUUCCCCCAUUAAGUCCAAGCCAUAGAGUAAGAGUGAGAUGAGUUUUCCAAAUUCAUCAUAGACUUUCCCUAUGGCUUGAUAGAAGUAAGCAGCAAAGAGUCGUAACUUAAAGAAAAAACGGACAGGGCCGACAGAUUUACCUGAUGUAAAGAAGAUCCUAAAAGUCUCUGAUUAGUCGACUCUCUCCAUUUAACACUUUCCUCUCUCUCCUUUUUUCCACUGACUCAAUUCUAGUUUAUUAGAUUCUUGUUUAAAAGAAUGAGAAAAGUUCAAUAGAACUAAGAACACAUAAAAAAUAGCAUAGAGGAUCAAGGCCAUUACCAAAAGUUCCUCCCAAGGAUCCUAUAUCCUAUUGGGUAUCUGUUCCCCGCCUUUUCCCGCUAGGAUCGGAAAUCUUAUAUUUUCCAUAUCCAUAUACCGUUGAAUCCUUGGGGUUCCAGAAUCCACCUAUUUUACUAGUCUUCGGAAACGGAAAACCCUGAACCAAGAAGAGUUGGAUAUGUUAUGUAGGGUAUGUUUUUUUUAUUAAUUUUAUUUUGAGCUCUCAAGAUAUCGAUAUAUACAUAUACAAUCUCUACAUAAUGUCUCUCUCUCUCUAUCUCUAUAUAUUAUAUAUAUAAUAUGUACAUUAUGCAGUAGACCCGUAAUGGGAAAUCCAAGUGGCUAAUUUUUGAAUUAAAUAAAAAGCCCUUUUAACUCACUGGUAGAGUAAUGCCAUGGUAAGGCAUAAGUCAUCGGUUCAAAUCCGAUAAAGGGCUUUUUAAAUUAGUGGUAGAGUAAUCUCGUGCUAAGACGUAAGUCGUUGGUUCGAAUCUGAUAGAGUACUUUUCUACUAAAUUGAUUCACUUUUGUUCUUUGUUUUUGAAACUUUCUCUAUAGUUUUAGAGAAUUUUAUGACUUAGUGCGGGAUGGAUGCAUUUUUGGUCUGAACACUAAAUGAAGCACGGAGAAUUAAUCUAUAACGAUCAACUAAAAAAAAAUCCUAGAUGAAAACAUAACAGAAAAGUUGGAAAAACUCUUUGCUUUGGAUCUAUUUAUACUUUUCGAGUAUAUUGACAAUUCCAAAAAAUUGCUCAUACUAUGAUUAUAGUAUAAUCACGAGUGGUUGUAUAUGGCCCUAUCGUCUAGUGAUGCCCCUAUCGUCUAGUGGUUCAGGACAUCUCUCUUUCAAGGAGGCAGCGGGGAUUCGACUUCCCCUGGGGGUAGGGAGUAUUAUGAAAGGAGGUUAAUCAUAGAUUAGCAAAAACCCUAGAAUAAAUUCUUCCUGGGUCGAUGCCCGAGUGGUUAAUGGGGACGGACUGUAAAUUCGUUGACAAUGUCUACGCUGGUUCAAAUCCAGCUCGGCCCAAACCAAAAAUCUAGGGCUUCGUGAGUAUGAACUAAAUCCUUUUGUUUUUCUUCCAUAAAAUAAAAUGUCUGAUCUAUAGAAAUAAAAGAUAAAGAAAAAAGGGAAUUUUUUUUUCUAAUCCAUAUCUCUCUCAUUCCUUUCUUACAAACAAAAGAGUUUUUCUUAUUGAAGGCUGGAUUAUUAUCCAUUUUUAGUGAUAAAAAAUCACGACAUACUAGUUAUGUCACUCUCACUAUACCCACAUAUAAUAUAAUAUGUGGGUAUGUAGUAUAUGAUUCGUCUAUUUCUUAGAGUACGAAAGACGAAUCGAAUCUUCUUAUGGUUCUAUUUAAGAAUGGGUAUGCCAUACACCCCGCGGGGAUUGUAGUUCAAUUGGUCAGAGCACCGCCCUGUCAAGGCGGAAGCUGCGGGUUCGAGCCCCGUCAGUCCCGAACUAGGGUUCAAUGAAUGGAGAAAUUGAUAUUUCCUUUUUCCACGAAAAAAGGGGCAGGGAGCAAGAUCAAAUACCCACAGGGCACCCUUACUUCACUUUUUUAUUUUGCGUCCCUCAUUAAAGAGGAAGGGAAGGCAUAUAGGAAUUUUUUUCACUACUCCCGAUCGAUAAAGAUAAAGAAAGACACACAUACGAUAUGUGGAUUAGUAGAAUUUAGGAUAUUAUAUUACUCUAUCUUUCUUUAUGAUGAUACCAUCCUCAUCUUAAUUUCCUAUUCCACUCUUAUGGAAUAGAGUACCGGUAUUUUACCGGAAUCCAUACAUAAAUCGUAUUCCCUUUUUAUUUCAGACCUCUUUUCCCCAUCUCACUUCUACUGCUUAUUUGGAUGUCUAUGUGACCCAUAGAAAGUUGGUCAUAUAAUACAUACAUAAUUGUAUGUAUAACUAUAAGAAAAAGGAAGGGAAAUUGUAUACGAUUAAGAAAGUAUAAGAUUAAGAAAGCUCGUGGGUUAGAGAUAUAGAAAAGAAAAAGUAGAAAAGAAUUAAAAAAGAGGGAAUUCCUAAUCCAAUCAAAAAACCCAUUUUGGUCUUAGUGUGGAUAGAGGAUCUUCCUAUGUUAUACUAUAUAACUCUCAUCCGUGAAAUGUAACUCUCAUCCAUGAAUUGAUUUGAUAGAUCCGAUAUUCAUAAUAUUGAAUUGAUUCGGUAUUAUCAGAAUGCAAGCCCUACCCUUGAAUUUACAAGAUACCCCUUUUUCCUCUCCAUGGGAUUACAUCCCGAGUUAUUGUGAAAAUAAAAAAUAAAGAGGUUAUGGAAGUCAAUAUUCUCGCAUUUAUUGCUACUGCACUAUUCAUUCUAGUUCCUACUUCUUUUUUACUUAUUAUUUAUGUAAAAACAGUCAGCCAAAAUAAUUAAUUGGAAUUCCAAUUAAUCAUUGAAGAAAUUAAAAAGGGAUUAAAUAAAAAAAUCCAAGUCUUAAAUGAAAGGAUCUGGUUGGAAUCUUAAAGUGUGGUAGAAAGAACUACAUAUAGUUUUUUCUACGACACUUUAGAUUCUUUCUAUUAUAUUAUCUUUGAAUCUACAUAGAAUAGAUUAGUAGAUUGAAAUAGUUAACUAGUCUAAUUCAAUUUCUUUUUUCAUUGCAUCCACUUAAUUUCAAUCAGGUCAAAAUAAAAAAAAUCUAAGACAAUUCUUGACCAAAGAAUCCAUGGAAGGAAAGAAAAAUAAUAUUAAGAAUAGACUAUAGUAAAAAGUAAAAGGAAAUGGAAAAUGUGUGAUAUGCCGUGAAUAGUUCCGUGGAAGAAAGUCUAAUUUUCUUAUGUAUAGAACUUUUUUUAACCAUUCGUCAUUUCUAGUAGAAAUUAUGAAUUGGUAUAAUGGCUCUUUCUUACAUUACAACUUACAAUACAAGAGUUUCUUACAGGAGUGAAACAAAACUUAAGAAAAAGAUUAAAGAAUAACGUUUGACAAAAUGAUUAAUGCAAAAUGAUCCAUUAAUGAAAAGAAUUGAUACAACAAUUUGAUUACUUAAUCAAUUAGUAGUAUCCCUAGAGUCCACUCCUUCCCCAUACUACUAGUGAAAGAGAAAAUGUAAAGACUACCAUUAAAGCAGCCCAAGCGAGACUUACUAUAUCCAUCUAAAUUAUGUCUCCUAUUUCUAUGAAGGGAUUAUUCUAUUCUACUAUUGAUCAAUAAUCAUAGUGGAAUCAAGGGUAUAGAGUCAAAAAGGGAUUCCGCCCUAAGGCCAUGGAUCAAUCAGUUCAAGGAAUUUACUCCUAACAAAUUCUUAUAGGAAUUCUGGUAGAAUUAGAGAGCAUUAAAAAUACGAUACUAUAGCCCUUUUUUCCUUAAAAAAGAAAGAGUAUGGGAAUGAUGUCCUGAAUAGAAGAAGCGGGAAUAGGAAGAUUUUUUAUUCCUUUUGUUACUCUUUUUUUUAAGCAAAGGACGCCCGAAUAUACCAUAAAAUUAUCGAUAGAUAAAUAUUUAUUGGAUACCUACCUUACCUAAUGUUUAUUUUUGACCUAAACCCUGCAGCCUUGCUUUGUAUCAUUCUAUGAAAGAAUGAAGAGGAAGAGAUUUUAUCCAUAACACAACUCCUAAAUUGAUUUUUGAUCGACCUAUUUAAUCGGAUUCUCGUUAGAAUUAAGUAGUCCUUACUUUAGUGUAUGUAGGUAACAUAAGAUGUACGAUAAAAAAAUGUAUAAUAAUUAGUAAGUCUUGAUAUUCUUUCAUGGAGUCCCUUCUUGAAUCUUAGAUUGAAAAAAAAGAAUGCCCCUUAGGGACCUUUCUUUGGAUACCAAGAUUUCUGACAUCUUAUCCUCGUAUUUUAAAAUUAUCAAAUCGAAUCUCAAUUAAGAACCAAUUCAAAUUCAUAUAAUAAAAGAAUAAGGAAACACUACCUCACCCCUAUUGAUAACCAUUUUGGCCACUACCGUCAAAACAAACCCUAACCCUAGUUUGAGGAUAGAACUAUGGUAUGGUUUCUCUAAACCCAGUAUCGGCAGGCCCAGUUACUCUCUUGCCCGAACUUAUGCGAAGUAAAAAUUGAUCGAAUUCGAUCAGCACUAUAAAAAAACCUAAGUAUUUUAUUGAUCAGGCGGCACCCAGAUUUGAACUGGGGAUAAAGGAUUUGCAGUCCCCUGCCUUACCGCUUGGCCAUGCCGCCAAAAAAUCCGAUCAAAAAUCUAGAAAACAGCAAGUAUUCAUCCAUGUUUUCUUACGAAAAGCCCCUUUUAUUUUGAAUAUAAUUCUACUUACUUUUUUCCAAUCUUUUUCAAAAAAUCUAUUCCUGCUUUUUUUGAUCCAGUUUCUAUUAUUCUCCUCGAUAGAUUCUAUCUUAAAACAUACAGUGUUAACACAAUAAAACUUCCCAUUUCUUUCUAUUGAGAUGAAAAAGAAGAAAAAGUGGAUUUCUAUUCACAAGCUGCAAAAUUCAGAAUAAAUUGGAACCAUUAACUAGAAUUCUCUUUUUUUAUUGCAGUAGUGAACUACUCUUAAAUCGGUAUUCUCUCCCCCCUUCAAUGGCAUAAUAAAAUAUUAUGACUUUAUGCUUAAUCCGUGUAUAGGUAAACUUUAGGUCCGAACAGCAUUAUUAUCCAAAGAUCCCCUUUAUGUACAUAUCUCUAUGGGGAAUCAUGCUUUAAUUUUUCAAAGUAUUAAAUUAAAUAUCUUGAAUAAAAAAAGGAAAUUUGCUCUGAUAUAGAGUAUAACCUUACUAUCUUGGCCUACCCAAGUGAAAUUACGAUAAAAGAAAAGCAUGGAUAUGGGGAGAGGUGGAUAACUAGAUUGGCAUGUACUUAAAAAAGGGACUUACUUGAUUUUAGAAUUCCACAAUGAAAUACUGAAUUUUCUAGCAAUUAUACUACUCCGAUCCGAAAUAAAAAAGAACCCUCAAAUUAUUUUGAGAAAUUAAAGUAAGCACGCUAUUCUAAAUCGAAGUAAAGUCAAACUUUCUAGUAUAUUAUAUUACGGCUUUAUUACAUUCAUAGAAAGGAGAUAAAAUGAGAAAUCUUUGCCAUCCAAUCUGAUUAGAAUAUCAUAACAUAAAGUAUAAGUGGCAGAAUUUUUUUUAGGAAUGUUUUAUCAAUUCAUUUUCAUUUCAUUUGUACCCCUGGCAAACUCGAACUUUUGUCCAAAUGGUCUCUAUUCAUAUGUAUGAAAUACAUAUAUGAAAUACGUAUGUGGAGUUCCCUAGAAUUUCAUGUGAUUCAGUAAACAGAAUAUAGAUUCCAUGAUUGCUAGAUCGAUCUAGAGGGAUUGAUGAAGAGUGAGCUGAUAAUGGAAUUUUUCUUUGAUAAACAGGAAACUUAAGAUUAAGAUGCUCCGGAAUGGAAACGAGGGAAUGUCCACAAUACCCGGAUUUAGUCAGAUCCAAUUCGAGGGAUUUUGUAGGUUCAUUAAUCAAGCCUUAGCAGAAGAACUUGACAAGUUUCCAACAAUUAAAGAUCCAGAUCACGAAAUUGCAUUUCAAUUAUUUGCGAAAGGAUAUCAAUUGCUAGAACCCUCGAUAAAAGAAAGAGAUGCUGUGUAUGAAUCACUCACCUAUUCUUCCGAAUUAUAUGUAUCUGCGAGAUUAAUUUUUGGUUUCGAUGUGCAAAAGCAAACCAUUUCUAUCGGAAACAUUCCUAUAAUGAAUUCCUUAGGAACCUUUAUUAUAAAUGGAAUAUACCGAAUUGUGAUCAAUCAAAUAUUGCUAAGUCCUGGUAUUUACUAUCGCUCGGAAUUAGAUCAUAAGGGAAUUUCUAUCUACAUUGGCACUAUAAUAUCAGAUUGGGGGGGGGAGAUCGGAAUUAGCAAUUGAUAAAAAAGAAAGGAUAUGGGCUCGCGUGAGUAGAAAACAAAAGAUAUCUAUUCUAGUUCUAUCAUCAGCUAUGGGUUCGAAUCUAAGAGAAAUUCUAGAUAAUGUUUCCUACCCUGAAAUUUUCUUGUCUUUCCCGAAUGCUAAGGAGAAGAAGAGGAUUGAGUCAAAAGAAAAAGCUAUUUUGGAGUUUUAUCAACAAUUUGCUUGUGUAGGUGGGGACCUGGUAUUUUCGGAGUCCUUAUGCGAGGAAUUACAAAAGAAAUUUUUUCAACAAAAAUGUGAAUUAGGAAGGAUUGGUCGACGAAAUAUGAAUCGAAGACUUAAUCUUGAUAUACCUCAGAACAAUACAUUCUUGUUACCACGAGAUGUAUUGGCCGCUACGGAUCAUUUGAUUGGAAUGAAAUUUGGAACGGGUAUACUUGACGAUGACGAUAUGAAUCAAUUUACAACAUGCAGUUCAAAAAACUAUUCGUAGAGUAUUCAUACGUCAAUCGAAACCGACUCCCCAAACUUUGGUAACUCCAACUUCAACUUCAAUUUUAUUAAUAACUACUUAUGAGACCUUUUUUGGCACAUAACUGUUAUCUCAAGUUUUUGAUCAAACGAAUCCAUUGACACAAACUGUUCAUGGGCGAAAAGUGAGUUGUUUAGGUCCUGGAGGGUUGACGGGGAGAACCACAAGUUUUCGGAGCCGAGAUAUUCAUCCGAGUCACUAUGGGCGUAUUUUUCCAAUUGACACGUCUGAAGGAAUCAAUGUUGGACUUACUGGAUCCUUAGCAAUUCAUGCGAGAAUUGAUCACUUGUGGGGAUCCAUAGAGAGUCCGUUUUAUGAAAUAUCUGCUGAGAAAGCAAAAGAUAAAAAAGUGAGACAGGUGGUUUAUCUAUCACCAAAUAGAGAUGAAUAUUAUAUGAUAGCAGCGGGAAAUUCUUUGUCCUUGAAUCAAGGUAUUCAGGAAGAACAGGUUGUUCCGGCUAGAUACCGUCAAGAAUUCUUGACUAUUGCAUGGGAACAGAUUCAUGUUAGAAGUAUUUUUCCUUUCCAAUAUUUUUCUAUUGGGGGUUCUCUCAUUCCUUUUAUUGAGCACAAUGAUGCGAAUCGGGCUUUAAUGAGUUCUAAUAUGCAGCGCCAAGCAGUUCCGCUUUCUCGGUCCGAGAAAUGCAUUGUUGGAACUGGAUUGGAACGCCAACAGCUCUAGAUUCGAGGGUUUCCAUUAUAGCCGAACGCGAGGGAAAGAUCAUUUCUACGGAUAGUCAUAAGAUACUUUUAUCAAGUAGUGGGAAGACUAUAAGUAUUCCUUUAGUUAACCUCCGUCGCUCUAACAAAAAUACUUGUAUGCACCAAAAACCCCGGGUUCCACGGGGUCAAUCCAUUAAAAAAGGACAAAUUUUAGCAGAAGGAGCUGCUACAGUUGGGGGCGAACUUGCUUUAGGAAAAAACGUAUUAGUAGCUUAUAUGCCAUGGGAAGGUUAAAAUUUUGAAGACGCAGUACUAAUUAGCGAACGUUUGGUAUAUGAAGAUAUUUAUACCUCUUUUCACAUCCGGAAAUAUGAAAUUUAGACGGAUACGACAAGCCAGGGCUCCGCUGAAAAAAUCACUAAAGAAAUACCACAUCUAGAAGAACAUUUACUCCGCAAUUUGGACAGAAAUGGAGUUGUUAGGUUGGGAUCCUGGGUAGAAACUGGUGAUAUUUUAGUAGGUAAAUUAACGCCUCAGAUAGCGAGCGAAUCAUCUUAUAUCGCGGAAGGCGGAUUAUUACGGGCCAUAUUUGGCCUUGAGGUUUCCACUUGAAAAGAAACUUCUCUGAAAUUACCUAUAGGUGGAAGAGGGCGCGUUAUCGAUGUGAAAUGGAUCCAAAGGGACCCGCUCGACAUAAUGGUUCGUGUAUAUAUUUUACAGAAACGUGAAAUCAAAGUUGGGAAUAAAGUAGCCGGAAGACAUGGGAAUAAAGGGAUCAUUUCCAAAAUUUUGCCUAGGCAAGAUAUGCCCUAUUUGCAAGAUGGAACACCCGUUGAUAUGGUCUUCAAUCCCUUAGGAGUACCCUCCCGAAUGAAUGUGGGACAAAUAUUUGAAAGCUCGCUCGGAUUAGCGGGGGAUCUGCUAAAGAAACAUUAUAGAAUAGCACCCUUUGAUGAGAGAUAUGAGCAAGAGGCUUCAAGAAAACUUGUGUUUUCAGAAUUAUAUGAAGCCAGUAAAGAAACAAAAAAUCCAUGGGUAUUUGAACCCGAGUACCCGGGAAAAAGCAGAAUAUUUGAUGGAAGAACAGGCGACCCCUUUGAGCAACCUAUUCUAAUAGGGAAGUCCUAUAUCUUAAAAUUAAUUCAUCAAGUUGAUGAGAAAAUUCAUGGGCGUUCUACUGGGCCCUACUCACUUGUUACACAAGAACCGGUUAGAGGAAGAGCCAAGCAAGGGGGACAAUGAGUAGGAGAAAUGGAAGUUUGGGCUUUAGAAGGAUUUGGUGUUGCUCAUAUUUUACAAGAGAUACUUACUUAUAAAUCUGACCAUCUUAUAGCUCGCCAAGAAAUACUUAAUGCUACGAUCUGGGGAAAAAGAAUACCUAAUCAUGAGGAUCCUCCAGAAUCUUUUCGAGUGCUCGUUCGAGAACUACGAUCUUUGGCUCUAGAACUGAAUCAUUUCCUUGUAUCUGAAAAGAACUUCCAGGUUAAUAGGGAGGAAGUUUGAUCGGAAUAAAUAUAAAUUCUUUUCUUAUUUCUAUUUUAUGAUUGACCAAUAUAAACAUCAACAACUUCAAAUUGGACUCGUUUCCCCUCAACAAAUAAAGGCUUGGGCUAACAAAAACCUACCUAAUGGAGAAGUCGUUGGCGAAGUCACAAGGCCCUCUACUUUUCAUUAUAAAACCGAUAAACCAGAAAAAGAUGGACUGUUUUGCGAAAGAAUCUUUGGACCCAUAAAAAGCGGGAUUUGCGCUUGUGGCAAUUCUCGAGCGAGCGGAGAUGAAAACGAAGACGAAAGAUUUUGCCAAAAAUGCGGGGUAGAAUUUGUGGAUUCUCGCAUACGAAGAUAUCAAAUGGAUACAUCAAACUCGCAUGUCCCGUGACUCAUGUGUGGUAUUUGAAAGGUCUUCCUAGUUAUAUCGCGAAUCUUUUAGAUAAACCUCUUAAGAAGUUGGAGGGCCUAGUAUACGGCGAUUUCUCUUUUGCUAGGCCCAGCACAAAAAAACCCACUUUUUACGAUUACGAGGUUUAUUCGAAGAGGAAAUUGCAUCCUGUAACCACAACAUUUCUCCCUUUUUUCUACCCCAGGCUUUGCAACAUUUCGAAAUCGGGAAAUUGCGACAGGAGCAGGUGCUAUUAGAGAACAAUUAGCAGAUUUGGAUUUGCGAAUUAUUAUAGAGAAUUCUUUGGUCGAAUGGAAGGAAUUAGAAGACGAGGGGUAUAGUGGAGAUGAGUGGGAAGAUAGAAAAAGACGAAUAAGAAAAGUUUUUUGAUUAGACGCAUGCAAUUGGCGAAACAUUUUAUUCAAACAAAUGUAGAACCAGAAUGGAUGGUUUUGUGCGUAUUACCGGUUCUUCCUCCCGAAUUGAGACCUAUUGUUUAUAGGUCUGGAGAUAAAGUAGUGACUUCAGACAUUAAUGAACUUUAUAAGAGAGUUAUCCGUCGGAACAACAAUCUUGCCUAUCUAUUAAAAAGAAGUGAAUUAGCGCCAACAGAUUUAGUAAUGUGCCAGGAAAAAUUGGUACAAGAAGCCGUGGAUACACUUCUUGAUAGUGGGUCCCGCGGGCAACCAACGAGGGAUGGUCACAAUAAAGUAUACAAAUCACUUUCAGAUGUAAUUGAAGGUAAAGAGGGAAGGUUUCGCGAGACUCUGCUUGGGAAACGGGUCGAUUACUCGGGGCGUUCUGUCAUUGUUGUGGGUCCUUCGCUUUCAUUACAUCAAUGUGGAUUACCUCUAGAGAUAGCAAUAAAGCUUUUUCAGCUAUUUGUAAUUCGCGAUUUAAUCACGAAAUGCGCCACUUCUAAUGUAAGGAUUGCUAAAAGGAAAAUUUGGGAAAAAGAACCCAUUGUACGGGAAAUACUUCAAGAAGUUAUGCGGGGACAUCCUGUACUGUUAAAUAGAGCACCUACCCUGCAUAGAUUAGGCAUACAGGCCUUUCGACCCACUUUAGUAGAGGGGCGUACUAUUUCUUUACACCCAUUAGUGUGUAAGGGUUUCAAUGCGGACUUUGAUGGAGAUCAAAUGGCUGUUCAUCUACCUUUAUCCUUGGAAGCUCAGGGAGAAGCCCGUUUACUUAUGUUUUCUCAUAUGAAUCUCUUAUCUCCCGCUAUUGGGGAUCCUAUUUGCGUACCAACCCAAGACAUGCUUAUCGGGCUUUAUGUAUUAACGAUUGGAAAGCGUUGAGGUAUUUGUGCAAAUAGAUAUAAUAGUUGCAGAAACUACCCAAAUCUAAAAGUAAAUUACAAUAAUAAUAAUAAUUCUAAAUAUAGGAAAGAUAACGAACCCCAUUUUUCUAGUUCUUAUGAUGCACUGGGAGCUUAUAGACAAAAACUAAUCAGUUUAGAUAGUCCCUUGUGGCUACGAUGGAACCUGGAUCAACGCGUCAUUGGGUCAAGAGAAGUUCCGAUUGAAGUUCAAUAUGAAUCUUUGGGGACUUAUCAUGAGAUUUAUGCCCACUAUCUAAUAAUGGGAAAUAGAAAAAAAGAAAUCCGUUCGAUAUACAUUCGAACCACUCUUGGUCAUAUUUCUUUUUAUAGAGAAAUAGAGGAAGCCAUACGAGGAUUUAGUCAGGCCUAUUCAUACACUACCUAAACAAGAAAGUUAGAUUCGGCGAUGCCCCUCCCCUUUCGGGGGGCAUUCCGAUUUCCCUAGUAUCAUCAUUAUUUGCCACCCGAAUCCAGAUUGAGAUUGAGGCAAGUUAAUUAAAUUUUCGAAUCACUGACUCAGGCCCAUUGUCGAAUCCUACUCAGCAAUUGUCGAAUCCUACUCAGCCGAAAAGGGGGUACUUAUGUAUGGCGGAACGGGCCAAUCUGGUCUUUCAUAAUAAAGAGAUAGACGGAACUGGUAUGAAAUGACUUAUUAGCAGAUUAAUAGAUCAUUUUGGAAUGGGAUAUACAUCCCAUAUACUGGAUCAACUAAAGACUCUGGGCUUCCAUCAAGCCACUACUACAUCGAUUUCGUUAGGAAUCGAGGAUCUUUUAACAAUACCCUCUAAGGGAUGGUUAGUCCAAGACGCGGAACAACAGAGUUUUCUUUUGGAGAAACACUAUUAUUAUGGGGCUGUACACGCGGUAGAAAAAUUACGCCAAUCUGUUGAGAUAUGGUAUGCGACAAGUGAAUAUUUGAUACAAGAAAUGAAUUCAAAUUUUCGGAUAACGGAUCCUUCUAAUCCAGUCUAUCUAAUGUCUUUUUCAGGAGCCAGAGGAAAUGCAUCUGAAGUACACCAAUUAGUAGGUAUGAGAGGAUUAAUGUCGGACCCUCAAGGACAAAUGAUUGAUUUACCUAUUCAAAGCAAUUUACGCGAGGGACUUUCUUUGACAGAAUAUAUAAUUUCCUGCUAUGGAGCCCGCAAAGGGGUUGUAGAUACUGCUGUGCGAACAGCAGAUGCUGGAUAUCUUACACGUAGACUUGUUGAAGUAGUUCAACAUAUUAUUGUGCGUAGAAGGGAUUGUGGUACUAUCCGAGGUAUUUCUGUAAGUCCUCAAAAUGGGAUGACGGAAAAACUUUUUGUCCAAACACUAAUUGGUCGUGUAUUAGCAGACGAUAUAUAUAUCGGUUCACGAUGCAUUGCCGCGCGAAAUCAAGAUAUUGGAAUUGGAUUAGUCAAUCGAUUCAUAACUGCCUUUCGAGCACAACCAUUUCGAGCACAACCAAUAUAUAUUAGAACCCCCUUUACUUGCCGAAGCACUUCUUGGAUCUGUCAAUUAUGCUAUGGCCGGAGUCCUACUCAUAGUGAUCUGGUCGAAUUGGGAGAAGCCGUAGGUAUUGUUGGAGGUCAAUCAAUUGGGGAGCCAGGGACUCAACUAACAUUAAGAACUUUUCAUACUGGCGGAGUAUUCACAGGGGGUACUGCCGACCUUGUACGAUCCCCUUCGAAUGGAAAAAUAAAAUUCAAUGAGAAUUUGGUUCACCCCACACGUACCCCUCAUGGGCAGCCUGCUUUUCUAUGUUAUAUAGACUUGCAUGUAACUAUUCAGAGUCAAGAUAUUCUAUAUAGUAUGAAUAUUCCCUCAAAAAGCUUGAUUCUAGUGCAAAAUGAUCAAUAUGUAAAAUCCGAACAAGUAAUUGCGGAGAUUCGUGCCGGAACGUCCACUUUAUAUUUUAAAGAAAGGGUACAAAAGCAUAUUUAUUCUGAAUCAGACGGCGAAAUGCACUGGAGUACUGAUGUUUACCAUGCCCCCGAAUAUCAAUAUGGUAAUCUUCGCCGAUUACCAAAAACAAGCCAUUUAUGGAUAUUGUCAGUAAGUAUGUGCAGAUCCAGUAUAGCGUCUUUUUCACUCCAGAAGGAUCAAGAUCAAAUGAAUACUUAUGGUAAAAAAGAUAGGGAAAUUCUUGAUUAUUCAACGUGGGAUCGAAUCAUGUCCAAUGGCCAUUGGAAUUUUAUCUAUCCUUCUAUUUAUCAAGAUAAUUCAGAUUUGUUGGCGAAAAAGCGAAGAAAUAGGUUCGUCAUUCCAUUACAAUAUCAUCAAGAACAAGAGAAAGAACUAAUAUCCUGUUUUGGGAUUUCGAUUGAAAUCCCCCUUAUGGGUGUUUUACGUAGAAAUACUAUUUUUGCUUAUUUUGACAAUCCCCGAUACAGAAAAGAUAAAAAGGGUUCAGGAAUUGUUAAAUUUAGAUAUAGGACCCUAGAAGAAGAAUAUAGGACUUGAGCGGAAGACUCAGAAGAGGAAUAUGAGACCCUAGAAGACGAAUACAGGACCCGAGAGGACGAAUAUGAAUAUGAAACCCUAGAAGAAUCUAAAUAUGGAAUCCUAGAAGACGAAUACGAAUAUGAAACCCUAGAAGACGAAUAUGGGAGCCCAGAAAACGAAUAUGGGAACCCAGAGAACGAAUAUAGGACUUUAGAGAAAGACUCAGAAGAGGAAUAUGGGAGCCCAGAGAGCAAAUAUAGGACCCAAGAGGACGAAUAUGGAACUCUAGAGGAAGACUCAGAAGACGAAUAUGGCAGCCCCGGGGAAAGCGCAGAGGAAAAAUAUGGUACUUUAGAGGAAGACUCAGAAGAAGAUUCAGAGGAUGAAUACGAGAGCCCAGAGGAAGAUUCCAUCUUAAAAAAAGAGGGUUUGAUUGAGCAUCGAGGAACAACAGAAUUUAGUCUAAAAUACCAAAAAGAAGUAGAUCGGUUUUUUUUCAUUCUUCAAGAACUUCAUAUCUUGCCGAGAUUUUCAUCCCUAAAGAUACUUGACAAUAGUAUUAUGGGAGUGGAUACACAACUCACAAAAAAUACAAGAAGUCGACUAGGCGGACUGGUCCGAGUGAAGAGAAAAAAAAGCCAUACGAAACUCAAAAUAUUUUCCGGAGAUAUUCAUUUUCCUGAAGAGGCGGAUAAGAUAUUAGGUGGCUGUUUGAUACCGCCAGAAAGACAAAAAAAAGAUUCUAAGGAAUCAAAAAAAAGGAAAAAUUGGGUCUUUGUUCAACGGAAAAAAAUUCUCAAGAGCAAGGAAAAGUAUUUUGUUUCCGUUCGCCCUACAGUGGCAUAUGAAAUGGACGAUGGAAGAAAUUUAGCAACACUUUUUCCGCAGGAUCUCUUGCAAGAAGAAAAUAAUCUCCAAAUUCGACUUGUCAAUUUUAUUUCUCAUGAAAAUAGCAAGUUAACUCAAAGAAUUUAUCACACAAAUAGUCAAUUUGUUAGAACUUGCUUAGUAGUGAAUUGGGAACAAGAAGAAAAAGAAAAGGCUGGUGCUUCCCUUGUUGAGGUAAGAGCAAAUGAUCUUAUUCACGAUUUCCUAAGAAUUGAGUUAGUCAAGUCCACUAUUUCGUAUACACGAAAAAGGUAUGGUAGGACAAGUGCAGGACCGAUUCCCCAUAAUAGGUUAGAUCGCGCCAAUAUCAAUUCUUUUUAUUCGAAGGCGAAGAUUGAAUCACUUAGCCAACAUCCAGAAACUAUUGGCACUUUGUUGAAUCGAAAUAAAGAAUACCACUCUUUGAUGAUUUUGUCGGCAUCCAACUGUUCUCGAAUUGGUUUAUUCAAGAAUUCAAAACAUCCCAAUGCGAUAAAAGAAUGGAAUCCUAGAAUUCCUCUGCGAGAAAUUUUUGGGCCCUUAGGCGCUAUUGUAGCUAGUAUAUCGCAUUUUUCUUCAUCUUACUAUUUACUAACGCAUAAUAAAAUCCUGUUAAAAAAAUAUUUGUUCGUUGACAAUUUAAAACAAACCUUCCAAGUACUUCAAGAACUUAAAUACUCUUUAAUAGAUGAAAAUAAAAGGAUUUCUAAUUUCGAUAGUAACAUAAUGUUGGAUCCAUUCCUUUUGAAUUGUCACUUUGUCCAUCAUGAUUCUUGGGAAGAGACAUUGGCAAUAAUUCACCUUGGACAAUUUAUUUGUGAAAAUGUAUGUCUAUUUAAAUCGCACAUAAAAAAAUCCGGUCAAAUUUUCAUUGUAAAUAUGAAUUCUUUUGUUAUAAGAGCAGCUAAACCUUAUUCGGCCACUACAGGAGCAACUGUUAAUGGUCAUUAUGGAGAAAUCCUUUACAAGGGAGAUAGGUUAGUUACGUUUAUAUAUGAAAAAUCGAGAUCUAGUGACAUAACGCAAGGUCUUCCAAAAGUGGAACAAAUCUUUGAAGCGCGUUCAAUUGAUUCAUUAUCCCCGAAUCUCGAAAGGAGAAUUGAGGAUUGGAAUGAGCGUAUACCAAGAAUUCUUGGGGUCCCUUGGGGAUUCUUGAUUGGAGCUGAGCUAACCAUAGCCCAAAGUCGUAUCUCUUUGGUUAAUAAAAUCCAAAAGGUUUAUCGAUCCCAAGGGGUACAGAUCCAUAAUAGACAUAUAGAGAUUAUUAUACGCCAAGUAACAUCAAAAGUGCGGGUUUCCGAAGAUGGAAUGUCUAAUCUUUUUUCGCCUGGGGAAUUAAUCGGACUAUUGCGAGCGGAAUGAGCAGGACGAGCUUUGGAUGAAUCAAUCUAUUAUCGGGCAAUCUUAUUGGGAAUAACAAGGGCUUCCCUAAAUACCCAAAGUUUCAUAUCUGAAGCAAGUUUUCAAGAAACUGCUCGAGUUUUAGACAAAGCUGCCCUACGAGGUCGCAUUGAUUGGUUGAAAGGCUUGAAAGAAAACGUAGUUCUGGGGGGAUUAUACCUGUUGGUACCGGAUUCCAAAAAUUUGUGCAUCGUUCCCCACAAGACAAGAACCUUUAUUUCGAAAAAAAAUUAUUCGCGUCGGAAAUGAGAGAUUUUUUGUUUCUCCAUACAGAAUUAGUUUCUUCAGAUUCUGACGUAACAAACAAUUUUUAUGAGACAUAAGAACCCCCAUUUAACAUUUAACCCUAUAUCAUUUAAGGAUACAUAAAAAAUAUUUUUUAUUUCAAGCUAUUUCGGAUCUUUCUUAAUCUUCAAAAAGAACUAAAUUCCGUAAUGGAAUGGUAGGAUUAAAAAAAAGGAAGUGUGGAAAAAAUGACAAGAAGAUAUUGGAACAUUAAUUUGAAAGAGAUGAUAGAAGCAGGAGUUCAUUUUGGUCAUGGUAUUAAGAAAUGGAAUCCUAAAAUGGCCCCUUACAUUUCGGCAAAGCGUAAAGGUACUCAUAUUAUAAAUCUCGCUAGAACGGCUCGUUUUUUAUCAGAAGCUUGUGAUUUAGUUUUUGAUGCAGCAAGUCAGGGAAAAAGUUUCUUAAUUGUUGGUACCAAAAAAAGAGCAACAGAUUUAGUAGCAUCAGCUGCAAUAAGGGCUCGUUGUCAUUAUGUUAAUAAAAAGUGGUUCAGUGGUAUUUUAACGAAUUGGUCGAUUACGAAAACUAGACUUUCUCAAUUUAGAGACUUAAGAGCAGAAGAAAAAAUGGGAAAAUUCCACCAUCUCCCAAAAAGAGAUGUGGCAAUCUUUAAGAGAAAAUUAUCUACCUUGCAAAGGUACCUCGGCGGGAUCAAAUAUAUGACGAGAUUGCCAGACAUUGUGAUCGUCCUUGAUCAGCAAAAAGAGUAUAUAGCUCUCCGGGAAUGUGCCAUUUUGGGGAUUCCUACUAUUUCUUUAGUCGAUACAAAUUGUGACCCGGAUCUCGCGAAUAUAUCGAUUCCAGCCAACGAUGACACUAUGACUUCAAUUCGAUUGAUUCUUAACAAAUUAGUAUUUUCAAUUUGUGAGGGCCGUUCUCUCUAUAUAAGAAAUCGUUGAUUAAGAAUAUAUAGUGAAUUCUUGGGCAACUGCGUAAAUUUAUGGAAUCACUUACUUUACUAUAUCUUUUUUUUUGCAUAGAAUUUUUUUUGCAUAGAAAAAAGAAGGGGAAUAUUGAUAUAUAUUAGAGGGUAUUGAUAUAUAUUAUGAUCUGAUGUGCUUUCUUGGUAUCCUAAAUAUAAGAUUAAUACUUCAAGUUGCUGAGUUGAGAAAGAGAUGGUUGAAUCAAAAGAAUUCCUUUUUUGAAGUUCAAUUUUUAUCAGAGGACAAUAUGAAUAUUAUACCUUGUUCCAUUAAAACACUCAAGGGGUUAUACGAUAUAUCGGGUGUAGAAGUAGGCCAACACUUCUAUUGGCAAAUAGGAGGUUUCCAAAUUCUUGCCCAAGUACUCAUCACUUCUUGGGUCGUAAUUACUAUCUUGCUAGAUUCAGUUGUCAUAGCUGUUCGGAAUCCACAAACCAUACCGACCGACGGUCAGAAUUUUUUUGAAUAUGUCCUUGAGUUUAUUCGAGACUUGAGCAAAACUCAGAUUGGAGAAGAAUAUGGUCCCUGGGUUCCCUUUAUUGGAACUAUGUUCCUUUUUAUUUUUGUUUUGAAUUGGUCGGGUGCUCUUUUACCUUGGAAAAUUAUAGAGUUACCCCAUGGGGAAUUAGCAGCGCCCACGAAUGAUAUAAAUACUACUGUUGCUUUAGCUUUACUCACAUCAGCGGCAUAUUUUUAUGCUGAUCUUAGCAAAAAAGGAUUGAGCUAUUUCGAGAAAUAUAUUAACCCAACUCCAAUCCUUUUACCAAUUAACAUUCUAGAAGAUUUCACAAAACCAUUAUCGCUUAGCUUUCGACUUUUCGGGAAUAUAUUGGCGGAUGAAUUAGUCGUUGUUGUUCUUGUUUCUUUAGUCCCCUUAGUAAUCCCUAUACCGGUCAUGUUUCUUGGAUUAUUUACAAGCGGUAUUCAAGCUCUUAUUUUUGCAACAUUAGCCGCAGACUAUAUAGGUGAAUCCAUGGAGGGUUAUCAUUGGAUUGACUCUUUUUGGAAAUAGUAUUUUUUUUGCAGCUUAGCUCAAUUCAUGCAUGGUUCCAGAUAAUCUGCUUGGUUGCAAAAAAAUAGUUAGAAAUGCGUAUGAAUAUAUAGCCUAGAGUUGUAGGAGAGAUAAUAGAAUAGACUAUAUUAUGGAAUUUUCAAAGUAUAUAUGCAAUAAGGAGGGUGGAGUCAGGCUAGAUCUAUACUAUAAUAUCCUUAAUGUCUAUAAUUGGAGUCCUCUUUUAUGCAGGUUUCCACUUUAAGCAAUGAUUUUAGAAUCCGAUUCAAUAGAAAAUGAGAAAAUAUGCAAACAAAAUAGAAGAAACAAAUGUAUAUAUAUAUAGGAUAUUAUAUUAUAUAUUCCUUGGUUAGAUUCAUUAUCUAAUCCGAUAUAUGGAUAUGGAAUUCCCUUCUAUGUAGUUCGGACAAUUCACAUUAUCAUUUCAAUUUGAUUUCAAUUUGUACUUUUUAGUUACUUUAAUUCUCCCCAAUAGAGCUUAGAAGUAAGAAUUUAUUGGUUGAUUGUAUCCUUAACCAUUUCUUUUUUUUGACACGAGGAACUACUCACCAUGAAUCCACUAAUUGCUGCUGCUUCUGUUAUUGCUGCUGGAUUGGCCGUAGGGCUUGCUUCUAUUGGACCUGGAGUUGGUCAAGGUACUGCUGCAGGACAAGCUGUAGAAGGUAUUGCGAGCCAGAAGCAGAAGGUAAAAUACGAGGUACUUUAUUGCUUAGUCUAGCUUUUAUGGAAGCUUUAACAAUUUAUGGACUAGUUGUGGCACUAACGCUUUUAUUUGCGAACCCUUUUGUUUAAUCUUAAAAAAAUUCUUUCGAUUUCGAUUAGAUACUUUUUUCUUUUUUUAGUCAAUUGGUAUUUGCUUCCGCAAUUCCAAUUAUAUCAAUACUUUAUUUAAUUUACUCCUAUUUAUUACUCCUGGAGUUAUCUAUUUACCGGGACAGAUAAUACCCCAUUCUAGGAAGGGCUGAGUUGAGUAUUAUUAAUUUAGAAGAUAUGCUCACCUUCUUAUUUCCCGUCCUUAGUUUAGGAAAGUGGAAAGUUUUUUCCUUUUAUUUUAGGAAUUUUGGGAACAGAACAUUUCAACAAAGGAAGUCUUUCACCGGUCAAACAAGACGUAAGACUUAAUCUAAAAGAAAUUACUAGAUUGAAUCUAUUUGCAUUAAAAAAACGAUCAAAAAAGGGCGAGCGAAGUAAGUGAUCGAAAAACUUUGUUCUUUGUUCGUCCUAUCUAUAAGAGGAGAGCAUAUGAAAAAUGUAACCCAUUCUUUCGUUUUUUAGCUCACUGGCCAUCCGCUAGCAGUUUCAGGCUUAAUACCGAUAUUUUAGCAACAAAUCUAAUAAAUCUAACUGUAGUGGUUGGUGUUUUGAUUUUUUUGGAAAGGGAGUGUGUGCGAGUUGUCUAUUUCAAGAAUAGAUUGGAUCUAUCCGGCUGCACUUUAUAAUAUUUUUUAGUAUUUUUUGGAUAAAUAAGAAAAGGGUGCACGAUCUCGACGAAUUACUUCUGAAUAAAUUCAGAAAUCAUAUGGAAGAACCAUAGCAUUUCGCGACUCAUUGGUAAAUCAACUUUGAUUCUCUAUAAACCAAGAAUGUGAGACCAUUAACACGGUUAAAGCUAAACUGCUUGAAGUCCAGGCAAAAAGAGGUACUCUUUCUACAACUAUAUUAGUAUUAGUACCGAAUUUAAACGGGAAAUAGCUAAUGUAAAAUUUAUCUGAUAUAGAACACUCAUAUAGAUAAAAUGGUUUGAACUAUUUACUAGAAAAAAAGGGGGCACCCUGCCCUUUUGUAAUCAAUGCCGAAUCGACGACCUAUGUAUAAAAAAGAGAAUUUUUUUGGAUUUGAAGAAAAAAAAUAAAAAAGAAUUCUAUUAAUUUUCAUUUUCCAUUUAUUUAGUUAGUUUUUCUUAAUGAAAUUGAAAUUAUUAACUAGAGGGCAAAUAAAAAUAAAGAAACAACUUUGCUGACCAUGAUAUAUUUUUAUCUUGGCAGAAGAGUCCUCUUAAUGUUUAUCUAGUCUUAUAUAGGUUUCGGUAUAUUGAAAUAUAAACAUAAAAAAGAAGAUAGAGGAUAGGCUCAUUACUUAAAAAAAAGAUAUGGAAAUAGCUAUAGAAAAAAAAGGAGCGUGAGAGCCAAAUGAAUCGAAAGAUUCAUGUUUGGUUCGGGAAGAGAUCAUAAAAGGUGUAAACUUACAAAAUAAUCUACUUUCAUUAAAAGAUUUAUAAGAUAAACAAAAACAGAGGAUCUUGAGUACUAUUCGAAAUUCAGAAGAAUUGCAUAGAGGGACCAUUGAGCAACUCAAAAAAGCUCGGAUUCGAUUACAGAAAGUCGAACUAGAAGCGGAUGAGUAUCGAAUGAAUGGAUACUCUGAGAUAGAACGAGAAAAAGCAAAUUUGAUUAAUGCUACUUCUAUUAGUUUGGAAUAAUUGGAAAAGUCUAAAAACGAAACCCUUUAUUUUGAAAAACAAAGGGCAAUGAAUCAGGUCCGACAGCGGGUUUUCCAACAGGCCGUACAAGGAGCUCUAGGAACUCUGAAUAGUUGUUUGAAUACCGAGUUACAUUUCCGUACGAUUCGUGCUAAUAUUGGCAUUCUCGGGUCCCUGGAAUGGAAGAGAUAAUUAAAUUAAUUAGGCCUUGAACUUCUACUUUCGUUUAGAAUUUAGGCAUUAUUUUUCCCCUUGCUUCCGAAAAAAGAGUCAGAAACACUAAUGGCAACCCUUCGAGUCAACGAUAUUCAUAAAAUUCUCCGCGAACGUAUUGAACAAUAUAAUAGGAAAGUAGGGAUUGAGAAUAUAGGUCGCGUAGUUCAAGUGGGGGAUGGGAUUGCUCGUAUUAUAGGUCUUGGUGAAAUAAUGUCAGGUGAAUUACUCGAAUUUGCAGAAGGUACUAGGGGUAUUGCUCUGAAUUUGGAAUCCAAAAAUGUUGGGAUUGUAUUAAUGGGCGAUGGGUUGAUGAUACAAGAGGGAAGUUUUGUAAAAGCAACAGGAAGAAUUGCUCAGAUACCCGUGAGUGAGGCUUACUUGGGUCGUGUUGUAAAUGCUCUGGCUAAACCUAUUGAUGGGAAAGGCGAAAUUAUAGCUUCCGAAUCUCGCUUAAUUGAAUCUCCUGCUCCAAGUAUAAUUUCCAGGCGUUCCGUAUACGAACCUCUUCAAACAGGGCUUAUUGCUAUCGAUUCGAUGAUCCCUAUAGGGCGCGGUCAGCGAGAGUUAAUUAUUGGGGACAGACAGACUAGCAAAACAACAGUAGCCACAGAUACAAUUCUCAAUCAAAAAGGCCAAGGUGUAAUAUGUGUUUAUGUAGCUAUCGGUCAAAGAGCAUCCUCCGUAGCUCAAGUAGUAACUACUUUCCACGAGGAGGGGGCUAUGGAAUACACUAUUGUAGUAGCUGAAAUGGCGGAUUCACCUGCUACAUUACAAUACCUUGCUCCUUAUACGGGAGCAGCCCUGGCUGAGUAUUUUAUGUACCGCGAACGGCAUACUUUCAUAAUUUAUGAUGAUCUCUCCAAACAGGCACAAGCUUAUCGCCAAAUGUCCCUUCUAUUAAGAAGACCUCCCGGCCGUGAGGCUUAUCCAGGGGAUGUUUUUUAUUUGCAUUCACGCCUUUUAGAAAGAGCCGCUAAAUUAAAUUCCCUUUUAGGCGAAGGAAGUAUGACCGCUUUACCAAUAGUUGAGACUCAAUCUGGAGACGUUUCCGCCUAUAUUCCUACUAAUGUAAUCUCCAUUACAGAUGGACAAAUAUUCUUAUCUGCGGAUCUAUUCAAUGCCGGAAUUCGACCCGCUAUUAAUGUGGGUAUUUCUGUUUCCAGAGUAGGAUCCGCGGCUCAAAUUAAAGCCAUGAAACAAGUAGCUGGCAAAUCAAAAUUGGAACUAGCGCAAUUCGCAGAGUUACAAGCCUUUGCACAAUUCGCCUCUGCUCUCGAUAAAACAAGUCAGAAUCAAUUGGCAAGGGGUCGACGAUUAAGGGAAUUGCUUAAACAAUCCCAGGCAAAUCCUCUCCCAGUGGAAGAGCAGAUAGCUACUAUUUAUACCGGAACAAGAGGAUAUCUUGAUUCGUUAGAAAUUGAACAGGUAAAUAAAUUUCUGGAUGAGUUACGUAAACAUCUAAAAGAUACUAAACCUCAAUUCCAAGAAAUUAUAUCUUCUAGCAAGACAUUCACCAAGCAAGCGGAAAUCCUUUUGAAGGAAGCUAUUCAGGAACAGCUGGAACGGUUUUCUCUUCAGUAACAAAUAAAUUUUGCAUGUCUACUCUUGUUAGUAGAAUAGGAAUCGUUGAGAAAGCCUUUUCAUUUGAAUCAUGCAAAAAAGUUUUCUUUGUUUUUAGUUUAGUAUAGUUAUUUAAAGAAUAGAUAGAAAUAAGAUUGCGUCCAAUAGGAUUUGAACCUAUACCAAAGGUUUAGAAGACCUCUGUCCUAUCCAUUAGACAAUGGACGCUUUUCUUUCAUAUUUUAUUCUUUCUUUUAUUUUAUUGCUUCUUCCGAGAAAAAACUGUUAGACCAAAACUCUUUUAGGAAAUCAAAAAAUCCAGAUACAAAUGCAUGAUGUAUAUAUUAUAUCAUGCAUAUAUCAUAAAGAAGGAGUAUGGAGGCGGUAGUGGGAGUCGAACCCGCAACCCCAAGGUUAUGAGCCUUAUGAGCUACCAAACUGCUCUAUACUCUUAAACUGAAGAGGGGUAACUAGGGGAUAAAAGAGGGUUGGAUACGCCCCUCUACCAAUAUCUAUACAAAUAGAAUAGUCCAUUUAUACAGAAUGGUAAAGAGGGCUCCUCUAUGAUUAUCAAUUCCAGAAAUCCAUACAAAUACGAAAGGGUAUUUUAUCCUUACCAACUGGAUCUUGUUGCACCCGGUAACAAACACUCAUAAACCAUUUCUCAAAGUACGUGUCCGGAUAGCCCAAAAUGUCGAUAGUUAGCUCUAGGUCUUCCGGUCAAAAAACAACUCGAUGAAGGCGUGUAGGUGCACUAUUACGCGGUAGGGAUUGCAAUUUUUCUCGCAUUUUCGUUUUUCACUCAAACUCAAGGGAGAAACUUUGCUUCUUAUCUUUUUUUUAAAGAUUGACGAAUCAAAUGAUAUUUCUGUUCUAAUUUCUGCCGCUUCUUCUCCCUCUGAAUCAAACUUUUUUUUGCCAUAAUGUGUCGUUGCUAUUAUUACCAAGUAUAUGGUUCUAAUCAUAGAUGGAAAAAUAAAUAGAAAAAGAAAUCUAAAAAGGCAGAUCCUCCCUCUCUAUCAAGAGUAAUGAACUAGGUGCUGAUAUAGUACAAAAAAAACUAAAUUAACCAAACUUGCCUGAUGUUGAGGCAAUCAAGAAAGCUGCAUAAGUGAAUAUAUAACUCACGGAAAAGUGAGCUAAUCCAACCAAUCUUGCUCGCACAAUGGAAAGAGCCACGGGCUUAUCUCUCCAGCGAAUUAAAUUAGCUAAAGGUGUGCGUUCAUGAGCCCAUGCUAAAGUCUCAAUUAAUUCCUGCCAAUACCCCCGCCAGGAAAUUAAGAACAUAAAUCAAGUAGCCCAAACAAGAUGUCCAAAUAAGAACAUCCACGCCCAUACCGAUAAACUAUUCAUCCCAAAAGGAUUAUAUCCAUUGAUAAGUUGUGAAGAGUUUAACCAUAGGUAAUCUCUUAACCAUCCCAUCAAAUAAGUGGAGGAUUCAUUAAAUUGUGAAACGUUGCCCUGCCAUAAUGUGAUAUGUUUCCAAUGCCAAUAAAAAGUAACCCACCCAAUGGUAUUUAACAUCCAUAAAACUGCCAAAUAAAAUGCGUCCCAAGCAGAAAUAUCACAAGUACCGCCGUGCCCUGGGCCGUCACAAGGAAAACUAUAUCCAAAAUCCGUUUUAUCUGGCAUUAAUUUGGAACCGCGUGCAUCUAAAGCGCCCUUUACUAAAAUCAAUGUAGUUGUAUGCAAACCUAGAGCAAUAGCAUGAUGAACCAAGAAAUCCCCAGGUCCUAUUGUUAAGAAAAGCGAAUUACUAUUCUCAUUAACAACAUUCAACCAUCCGGGCAACCAUAGGCUUCGACCCGCAUUGAAAGCGGGGCCAUUCGUUGAAGAUAAGAGUAUAUCGAACCCAUAUGUCGUCUUGCCAUGAGCAGAUUGUAUCCAUUGGGAAAAUAUAGGUUCGAUCAAGAUUUGCUUUUCUGGAGUACCAAAAGCAAGCAUGACGUCGUUAUGAACAUAAAGGCCCAAGGUAUGGAACCCUAGAAAGAGGCUAGCCCAACUUAAAUGAGAUAUGAUAGCUUCUUUAUGGUCUAACAUUCUUGCCAAUACAUUAUCCUCAUUCUGUUCUGGAUUGUAAUCCCUAAUGAAAAAAAUAGCUCCAUGAGCAAAAGCCCCUGUCAUGAUGAACCCUGCAAUAUAUUGGUGAUGAGUAUAUAAAGCAGCUUGAGUAGUAAAGUCUUGUGCUAUGAAUGCAUAAGGAGGUAAAGAGUACAUAUGUUGAGCUACUAAGGAAGUAAUAACCCCUAAAGAAGCUAGAGCAAGACCUAACUGAAAAUGAAUCGAAUUGUUGAUUGUGUCAUAAAGGCCCUUAUGCCCACGCCCUAAUCGACCCCCCGGAGGAGUAUGCGCUUCUAAAAGAUCUUUAAUAUUGUGCCCAAUUCUGAAGUUAGUUCGAUACAUGUGACCGGCAAUGAGAAAAAUAAAUGCAAUAGCUAAAUGAUGGUGAGCCAUAUCGGUCAGCCACAAACUUUGCGUUUGUGGAUGGAUCCCCCAAGAAGAGUUAGAAUGGCAGUUCCUGCUCCUUGAGCGGUACCAAAUAAAUGAUUACUCGAAUCAGGGUUUUGGGCAUAAAGAUUCCAUUGACCCGUCAAAAGGGGUCCCAACCCCUGGGGAUAGGGUAAUACAUCUAAGAAAUUAUUCCAUUGAACGUACCCCCCUGGAUGCGGGAAUAGCAACAUGAACUAAAUGUCCUGUCCAAGCCAAAGAACUUACCCCGAAAAGUCCUGACAAAUGAUGAUUGAGACGAGAUUCCGCGUUUUUGAACCACGAAAGGCUUGGUUUCCAUUUGGGUUGUAGAUGUAACCAACCCGCUAUUAAGGACAGCGUAGAAAGAAAUAAUAGAAAAAGAGCUCCAAUAUAAAGAUGCUCAUUGGUGCGUAAUCCUAUUGUAUACCACCACUGAUAAACUCUAGAAUAAGCAAUAUUCACUGGACCAGCAGCACCUCCUCGAGUAAAGGCUUCCACAGCGGGUUGACCAAAAUGAGGAUCCCAAAUCGCAUGAGCAAUAGGUCUUACGUGUAAAGGAUCCUGUAUCCAUGAUUCAAAAUUUCCUUGCCAAGCUACAUGAAACAGAUUUCCGGACGUCCAUAGAAAGAUUAUUGCUAAUUGCCCAAAGUGAGAAGCAAAAAUGUUCUGAUAAAGACAUUCUUCAGUAAUAUCAUCAUGACUUUCGAAAUCAUGUGCGGUAGCAAUACCAAACCAAAUAUGACGAGUAGUGGGGUCCUGAGCUAAGCCUUGGCUAAACCUGGGAAAUCUUAAUUCCAUAAUGCCUUUCAAAUCCUCCUAGCCACUAUCCUACUGCAAUAAUUCUCGCUAAGAAGAAUGCCCAUGUCGUGGCAAUUCCACCCAGAAGGUAAUGGGUUACUCCUACAGCGCGUCCUUGUAUAAUGCUCAAGGCUCUAGGCUGAGUAGCAGGAGCAACUUUUAAUUUGUUAUGAGCCCAAACGAUAGAUUCAAUGAGUUCUUGCCAAUAACCAUGGCCGCUGAAUAAAAGCAUUAAACUGAAGGCCCAGACAAAAUGAGCACCUAAGAAAAAAAGACCAUAUGCAGAUAAUGAAGAACCAUAAGACUGAAUGACUUGCGAUGCCUGUGCCCACAAGAAAUCUCGAAGCCACCCAUUAAUCGUAAUGGAACUCUGUGCAAAGUUUCCCCCUGUAAUAUGAGUUACCACCCCUUGAUCACUUAUAGUACCCCAAACAUCCGAAUGCAUUUUCCAACUGAAAUGGAAAAUGACUACCGAAAUUGCAUUGUACAUCCAGAAUAAACCUAUGAAAACAUGAUCCCAGGCGGAUACUUGACAUGUUCCCCCUCGGCCAGGCCCAUCGCAAGGAAAGCGAAAACCUAGAUUUGCUUUAUCGGGUAUUAAACGGGAACUCCGAGCAAAUAAAACACCUUUCAAAAGUAUUAAUACAGUCACAUGUAUGGUAAAUGCAUGAAUGUGAUGGACUAAAAAAUCUGCGGUUCCUAAUGGAAUAGGUAACAAAGCCACUUUGCCACCUACUGCUACUAACUCGCCGCCUCCCCACGUUAAGCUAGUACUUGUUGUUGCACCAGGAGCUGUUACGCCAGGCGCAGUAGCAUGGAUAUUUGUACCCAUUGAGCAAAGAUAGGUUGUAAUUGUAUGGCAGUAUCCGAAAACAUAUCUUGUGGACGGCCUAAAGCACUCAUGGUAUCAUUAUGAAUGUACAAGCCAAAACUGUGAAAACCUAGAAAUAUACAUACCCAGUUAAGGUGGGAUAUGAUUGCAUCGCGGUGUCUAAGGACGCGAUCUAAUAGAUCGUUGUAUCGAGUAGUUGGAUCAUACUCUCUUACCAUAAAAAUUGCUGCAUGUGCAGCAGCACCGACUAUUAGAAAUCCGCCAAUCCACAUGUGGUGUGUGAACAAGGAAAGUUGUGUACCAUAGUCAGUAGCUAGGUAUGGAUAGGGAGGCAUAGAAUACAUAUGAUGAGCUACAACAAUGGUUGUAGAGCCUAGCAUAGCUAGGUUAAGAGAUAAUUGAGCAUGCCAUGACGUUGUUAAGAUUUCAUAAAGACCCUUAUGGCCUUGUCCUGUAAAUGGGCCCUUGAAGCCUCCAAAAUAUCUUUAAGUCCAUGGCCAAUACCCCAAUUGGUCCUAUACAUAUGACCUGCGAUUAGGAAAAGAAUAGCAAUAGCUAAAUGAUGGUGCGCAAUAUCGGUCAGCCAGAGACCACCGGUUACUGGAUCUAGUCCUCCGCGAAAAGUCAGAAAUUCUGCGUAUUUGGACCAAUUUAAAGUGAAAAAGGGGUUGCUCCUUCGGCAAAACUAGGAUAAAGUUGAGCCAAAAGGUCCCGAUUCAAGAUAAAUUCAUGAGGAAGUGGUAUCUCUUUAGGAUCCACCCCAGCGUCAAGAAAUUGGUUAAUUGGUAAAGAUACAUGAAUUUGGUGCCCCGCCCAAGAAAGAGACCCAAGUCCUAAUAAUCCCGCUAAGUGGUGAUUCAACAUGGAUUCUACAUCUUGGAACCAGGCCAAUUUGGGAGCGGCUUUGUGAUAAUGGAACCAACCAGCAAAAAGCAUUAACGCUGCAAAAAUCAAUGCACCAAUUGCAGUACAAUAGAGUUGUAAUUCACUAGUUAUUCCAGAUGCUCGCGAAAGCUGAAAAAAACCAGAGGUUAUUUGGAUUCCUCGGAAACCCCCGCCUACAUCACCAUUCAAUAUUUCUUGCCCUACUAUAGGCCAAACUACCUGAGCACUGGGUCCAAUGUGAGUAGGAUCACUUAGCCAUGCUUCAUAAUUGGAAAAACGGGCGCCAUGAAAGUACAUGCCACUCAACCAAAGAAAGAUAAUGGAAAGUUGCCCGAAAUGAGCACUAAAGACUUUUCGAGAAAUCUCCUCCAAAUCACCAGUAUGACUAUCGAAAUCGUGAGCAUCAACAUGUAGGUUCCAGAUCCAAGUGGUAGUAUCAGGGCCCUUAGCUAGUGUUCUUGAGAAAUGGCCGGGUCUGGCCCAUUCCUCAAAAGAUGUUUCUACAGGAUCCCUAUCCACAACAAUUUUUACUUCUGGUUCCGGUGAACGAAUAAUCAUUAAGUCCUCCUCUUUCUGGACAAGACAUACAAAGAGACCCGCCAACUGUCUUUUUAGUGAAUCUUUGAAAGAUAUAUAUUUUGAAAGAUAGAUUUUGAAAGAUAGAUAUUGUGAUUAGUUCUUUUCUUUACUAUCUACCAUCCUUCUAUUUUUUUUUAGUUAUUCACUGGAGCAAUUAUAUAUUGAAGUCAAUCCGAGGCAAGUGUUCGGGUCUAUUAUGACAUAAAGAUUAGGUGCCUAACGGACAUUGUUUAUCUUGAAAAACAAAUAUUUCUCGACGUAAGAAAAAAAUCUUUUUUAUUUUUAAUUUAAGAAACUAGUGUAUUUUUUUGAGGGCAUAAGCUCCUAUCUAUAUCUACUUUCCUUGAGCAUAAUAUAGGGUUUUUUAUUUGAUUCUAAAUUCCAAGAUAACUCAUUAGAAUUAUUAAUAAGAUGGUCCUAAUAUAUUAGCAAUAUUUAUAUUGCCCCCUCUUUUUAUUCACUUUAUUACUUCUAUUCUAGACCCUAUCCCUAUGGUUUAUUCUUAUGAAAUAUCAUAUAAAAUAGAAGGUAUAAGAAAUGGAUAUAAUGAAAUUCUUGAUUCGAUCUUACGACCUAAUUUAUUUGAUUAAUGGAUCAACAACCAAACCACCCAUUUUAUGAAAAAGAAGGAGCAUGGUCUUAUUCAAAUUCAAAGCGCUUCGUAAUCUUCAACCAGUUCUGUGCUUCAAUAUAAUUUCCCGGAGUAAGCGCUAUAGCUUGUUUCCAACAUUCAGCAGCUUGAUCAAACCAAGCUUCCGCAAUUUCUGAAUCACCCUGUAGAAUGGCCUGUUCUCCUUGGUCGGAAUAGGAAGUUCCUUCCCUUAGAACCGUACUUGAGAGUUUCCUACCUCAUACGGCUCAGAAAUUGCUAUCUGAAUUUCCCCUAUCUUAACUGAAUUCGAUUUAUCAAAAAUCGAUCCAAUUUGUUCUUGGGUUAAGCAGAAGAAAUUAAUUACCUAAGUUUCAAACCCUAAUUUUUAUCAAUAAUCAGUUUGAUCUUUUUUCCCACCUUCAGAAGAAUGAAGCAUAGAUAGAUAUAGAGCCUUCAUUCAAAUUUUCUGAAAGGUAACUAUCCCGUUUUCAUAUAUGAAAUCUCUAUAGAAUCCUUGAAAAAGAAUUUUUCCAUAAGAAAGAAAAAAGAACUUACUAUCUUUGGGAUCUGAUACUACACCGCUGCUUAAUCCCUUAGUGGAUCGGCUCUAUUACAUAAGCGGAUUCCUAAAUUUUGCCCCAUAUCAUGGGAUAAGUAAGCAGUUUUUUUAGUUGUAUCGACCCAGUCGCUCACUAAUUGAUCUUUACGGUGCUUUCUCUAUCAAUUUGAGAAACUUUAUCCAUAGAGUAGUAGUAUAGGCCAUACUUUCUUCUUUUUUGAUUCUCGUGAAGUGUCCUUCCUUCCUACAGCUGAUAGGGAAAAAUCGUUGUUUUUAUGAUCCCUAUGUAGAAAGCCCUUUUUUCUAGUAUUUACUAGAAAAUUUGAUCCUCUCUUUUUUUUCUUUCUUUUCUAUAGUGGAGAUAGUCGCACGUAAUGACAGAUCACGGCCAUAUUAUUAAAAGCUUGCGGUAAGAAGGGGUUUCGUUCUAGUGCCCGGAAAUAAUAUUCCAAAGCCUUUGUAUGCUCUCCAUUGCUUGUGUGUAUAAGGCCUAUGUUAUAGAGUAUAUAACUUCGAUCAUAGGGAUCGAUUUCUAGUCGCGUAGCUUCAUAAUAAUUUUGCAAAGCUUCCGCAUAAUUUCCUUCGGAUUGAGCCAACAUCCGUUACGGUCAUUCAUUCUAUUCAAAAAAUCUCCGUUCCAAAACCGUACAUGAGGUUUUCAUCUCAUACGGCUCCUCCCUUCUGUACAUAAUAGUACUAAGCGAAAUAAUCUAUAGAAUCAAAAUAGAAUUAGUCCCGUCUCAUUAUGAACUGAAAGGGGCUGGUAUUUUUCCAAGAAAUCUCUAGCCAACCUUCCCACAAGAGGUUUUUCUUAACACCAAUGAAUUCUAUUAAUGCUAGAGGAAAACGAUAGCUCCAAUAAUUUCUUUGUUCUCAACGCGUCCUAUUUAGAGGAAUUAGCUACUUCAACGAUCUUUGAUGGUUAUAGGGGUAUCCAAAGUACAAACCUGAUGGUUGUUUGUUAUCCCAACCAUUAUUCCUAGCCCUGAUACCGAUCAGGAAAGGGGUAAUUUCUAACAAAGUUUUUCUCUUGUUGAUUCCUAUUUCUAGGUGUAGUGCUUUUCUCCCCUAUGCUGCCUACGGAUACUAAUAGAGUAGGAUUGGCCUGUAAUCCAUACCAUACCAUAUCCUGUAGGUGUAACCUUUCGCUCAAUACUCAAAUCUACAAUUGAAGUAUCUGAAGCCGCAUCAAUCGAGGAUACACGACGGAAGGAAUUGUUAGUUCGCCUCACCUUCCUGAAGCGUGGGUUUGUUUGCUUUACAAAUUUGGUUCUCUCUAUGCCAACCCCCUCUCUUUUUCGUAAGACUGAGGUAUAGGUAGGGCUAAAAAAAGCAAAAAAAAUGAGUCAAAUCGCACCAUCUCUAUAAUAAGUAAAUGCCUUUUUUUCUCCUGAGGUUGUCGGAAUUAUUCACAAUAAAAUAUUGGCUACAAUUGAGGAGGUCUUAUCAAUGAAAUUUCCAUUUACACGGGAUCUAGGCAUAAUUCCCAACCCAUUCUAUAUAGAAUUGUUUUCAUUCCUUCACAAAAUAACAUAAAAACAAACAUAUUCGAUUCUUAUAAUUAUAAAUAGAUUGAUCCAUAUGCUCUACUCUAAAUCCAUAUGCUUUAAAUGGAUAAGAGAGAUAGAGAUAUGGAUUUUCCGCUCAGCUCAAAUUGUAUCCUUUUCCUUCUGCUUGGACACGAAGAGAUAUGAAAUAUUUGACUAAGACUGGAUUUCAUUCCACUUUGCUAUUUCUGAACAACAACUUAUGUUAUCAACUAUUUCGUGUUUUCAAAGUUAUUAAUUGUCUCAUACCCUAUUUGUGAUUUCGAUAGUAUGGUGUAGCGUAUCUUAUGCAAACGGAAUUCUAAGGUUUCUUUAUUUUAUUAUGCAAUAAGAAGAAUUCUUCCAUUUUCUUUUUCUUUAGUUGCGGGAAAACCCAAAUUAAAACUUUUAUUUUAUAGCGAGCGCAAUUUCUAGUAAAAAAUCCUGUAUCCUUCCACUUAGAUCAAAAGGAAUUUUUCCAAUAGAACUAUGGAACCCCCGAGUGGUUGCGGUUGUACCUGUACUGCAGGAAUAAGAAAACUCGCUAUUCACUCAGUUUAUUUUCCAUAAUAAGUUAUGUAGGAGAGAUGGCCGAGCGGUUCAAGGCGUAGCAUUGGAACUGCUAUGUAGACUUUUGUUUACCGAGGGUUCGAAUCCCUCUCUUUCCGUUUUUCUUAUUUCAUCAACGUUAAGGAUCACAAUGUAUCAAAUCAAAUAACAAUUUUUUCCAGCAAUAAUAUCUUAUAUUAUCUUAUUUUGAUAUAAUAGAAAUUAGAAAUUCUCUAUAGCAAAUUACUGUGGUAUGUAAAAUACACAUAGAGGAAAAAAGAAAAAAGGAUCCUAAUCCUAGGGUUAAUCAAUUUUAGCUAGUUGAUGGGAAAAUACAAAUUAAUGGUAAUGGUCUUAGGGCGAUUUAGUUCGGGGAAAGGGGAAGGGGAAGAAAAUUCUAUGAACCUUUCCUUUUUUGGUUAAGUUCAAGUCUGACGAGAGUAAUAUUCUACAACUAACAACUCAUUUAUUUUGAGACCGACCCACUUCCUAUCUAGGAUUUUAUUUACUAGUCCUUUAUAUUCCAACGUGUCAAUCGCCAAAUGCUUUGGCAAUUUCCCCGGGUCCGAUGAAGCAAUAUAAUUUUGAACCAGACCUUUUGAUCUUUGGCUAUCUUUCGUAGUAAUAAUAUCUCGGGGUUUGCAACGAAAACUUGGUAUAUUGACUAUACGACCAUUAACUAAAAUAUGUCUAUGGUUGACUAAUUGGCGGGCCCCAGGAAUGGUUGAAGCCAUACCAAUCGAAAAAGGAUAUUAUCCAAACGCAUUUCAAGUAAUUGUAGUAAAACCUGGCCUGUUGACCUUUUUGCUUUUCCAGCGAUAUGUACAUAUCUAAGUAAUUGUCGUUCUGUCAGACCAUAAUGAAAACGCAAUUUCUGUUUUUCUUGAACACGAAUACGAUAUUGCUCCUUUUUCCCAGAAAUGAAUUUAUUUUUAAGAUUACCUUUGAUUUAGGUGUUUUUCUAGUGAGUCCUGGUAAAGCUCCCAGACGGCGUAUUUUUUUAAACGAGGUCCUCGAUAACGGGACAUGAAGACUCCUUUUUUUAUUUUAUUGAAAUUUCAUUUUACACAAUUAAUUUCAUUGUAUUUACAUUACAGAAUACAUCGAAAUUAAAACUGAAUUAAACUACAGGAUAAACAGAGUAAAAUCAACUAAAGUACCCAAAAAAAUGGAAUUUCAUCAAAAUCUUUAUUUUUUGUAUAUAUAUUAUUUAUUUUAUUGUUUUGUAUCUAGCAAAAUUGUAAGGUAAAAAACAUAAAAGAUCCUGGAUUCUCCAUUUAAUUCGGAAAAAAAGAGAUUCUUGUUCGUAGAACAUCGAUAGAGAAAAAAAGCCGACUAUCGGAUUUGAACUGAUGACCCUCGCAUUACAAAUGCGAUGCUCUAACCUCUGAGCUAAGUGGGCUUACAUAACGGAAAUAGUGUAACAAAUAGAAAUAGGUAUAGUAUAGGAAAUCCAUAAAAUCUCAGAUAUUAGUUAUUAAUCUUAGCUAUUAACUAGUUCUAAAUUUGAAGUUAUACUUAUAAAAAUAAAAAAAUACUAAAACUUCUUAAAGAUAAAGUUAGCUUGAUAUGCUUAACUAUAGGAUAUUAAAAAAUAAAAUUAUAGAAUUUAUUGGUAUUUUCAUUUGAUCAUUAUAGACUUUAUUAUUUGUUAAUAAUUUGAGGAUUAAUAUUUCACUAAGGGGAACAUAGAGUCAGAGUAAAUAAAAUUGCUAAUUCUGAUUAGAAAAAAAGAAUAAAUAUCAAGCGUUAUAGUAUAAUUUUGAAUACUAUAAAAAAGUAAGACGGGAGGUGGGGGAGAUAAAAACUUUUGGAUAUAUUGAUUCGGAUUGAAUUGCAAAUACAUCAAGGAUAGAAUCAAUUCAAUUGUGAAUUGCAAUAAGCAAGCGAGGUCUCUCAAAUAGAGUCGAACUGAACUGCUAGACUACGUUGAGUGAUGAACUCAAUGAUUCAAAAAAAACUAAGAGAUGGAUGAAAUUACACAAGGAAUCCUGGUCUCAAAGAAGAGGGAAAUGGGGAUAUGGCGAAAUCGGUAGCCGCUACGGACUUGAUUGUAUUGAGCCUUGGUAUGGAAACCUGCUAAGUGGUAACUUCCAAAUUCAGAGAAACCCUGGAAUUGAAAAAGGGCAAUCCUGAGCCAAAUCCGUGUUUUGAGAAAACAAGGGGUUCUCGAACUAGAAUACAAAGGAAAAGGAUAGGUGCAGAGACUCAAUGGAAGCUGUUCUAACGAAUCGAGUUAAUUACGUUGUGUUGUUAGUGGAAUUCCUUCUAAUUCUAAAUUAGAGAAAGUGGGGUUUUUAUACCUUAUACAUUUAAUAAACACGUAUAGAUACUGACAUAGCAAACGAUUAAUCACAGAACUCAUAUUAUAUUAUAAUUAUAAUAUAGGUUCUUUAUCUUUUUAAAAAAUGAAAUUAGAAAUGAUAAUGAUUAUGAAAUAAAAAACUCAUAUCAUAAUUUUUUUUUUCAUUAUUGUGAAUCCAGUCCAAUCGAAUAUUGAAUAAUCAAAUUCUUCAAUUUAAAUUCAAAGUUUUUGAGAUCUUUAAAAAGUGGAUUAAUCGGACGAGGACAAAGAGAGAGUCCCAUUCCACAUGUCAAUACUGACAACAAUGAAAUUUCUAGUAAAAGGAAAAUCCGUCGACUUUAUAAGUUGUGAGGGUUCAAGUCCCUCUAUCCCCAAAUCCUCUUUUAUUCCCUAACUAUACUAUAUUAUUAUUAUUUAUCCUGUUUUUUAUCUUUUUAUCAAUGCAAUGGCAAUGGGUUUAAGAUUCAUUAGCUUUCUCAUUCUACUCUUUCACAAAGGAAUGCGAAGAGAACUCAAUGGAUCUUAUCCUAUUCAUUGAAUAGAUUUCUUUUUUAUUAGAGUAUCGGCAAGAAAUCUUGGUUAUUCACUCUAUUUUUAAGUUUUAUUUAAGUAAACCAUGCACAAUGCAUAGGACUACCCCCCCCCCCAUUUUCAAAUUUCAAAUUUGAAAUACUUUAAUUAAUUUUUAGUCCUUUUAAUUGACAUAGAUACAAAUACUCUACUAGGAUGAUGCACAAGAAAAGGUCAGGAUAGCUCAGUUGGUAGAGCAGAGGACUGAAAAUCCUCGUGUCACCAGUUCAAAUCUGGUUCCUGGCAGAGAAAAAAAAAGAUCCACCGAAUAGGUAUUGAUCCAAAUACCUCGAGAUGGAUUGUGAUACAUAUUCAUUAAUAAUAUUUAUUCAUCUAAGUGGAUAAAUCUAUAAUAUAAAUAUAGAGGCACUUCUUUUUCUUUUUAAAGAAGUUUUAAAAUAUAUCUUUUCUUUAUGAUAAAGAAGGGGGUGAGAUUCCCCUUUAUUUUUUUGCGUUUCUUAAUUUUGUAUUCCGCUAUUCCGACGAAUAUUUUUUUAGUCUUGCUUAUCUUUAUCUUAUCUUAUUUUCCUAGUUGUGCUAAGUAAUGUGCGCGGUACAAAGUUCCUGGUUGAGAACUUCUUUGAGUCAUCCUAUUUUUCUGUUCAUAUGAAGGAAAUUAAUAUGCGAUUUUCAAAAUAGGGGAAUCCAAAUGAAACCCUUUUUUUGCUCAGUCUAUCUGGAAUGCUUUUGUAUAAUUAGGAAUUAAUUAUAAAUAGGUAUUCCGUUUCAUCUAGGAAAAGAACCUAAAAAUAUUCCUUGACUUGAAUAAAAUCUGGAGUUGUGUUGUAUAAGUGAGCAUGAAUUUCUUAUCAUUCAAUGAGCAUCUUGUAUUUCAUAAAAAUUGGGGGUUAUAUAAUCCUUACGUAAGGGCCAGCCUAUCCAACUUUCAGGCAUUAGGAUACGUUUAAGGCACGGAUGAUUAUCAUAAGAGAUUCCCACCAUAUCAUAAGAUUCGCGUUCUUGAAAAUUGGCACUUCUCCAAAUCCAGAAGACAGACGGAAUUCUAGGAUUAUCCUUUUGGGCAAAGACUUUUAUGCAGACUUCUUCUGGAUUAUCUAUACCAUAUUGUAUUCUCGUAAGAUGAUACACGCUAGCUAAAGAUCCACCGGGUGCUACAUCAUAAGCACAUUGGGAGCGUAAAUAAUUGUAACCAUAUACAUAUAAAAUGACAGCAAUGGAAUCCCAAUCCCCUGCUUUUGUUUGUAAAGUCUCUAUUCCUCGGUGAUCAAAGCCCAAAGAUCUAUGAACCACCUCAUGUUUGACUAGCCAAUUAGAUAACCAACCCUGCUACAUUGUCUUCAUCUCUCCCUCUUUGUAUAAAUAUUUCACAUUUCGGAUGUAAGUUUGAAAGAUUGCCCUGCUUUUUAUUUUUCUACACAAAAGAGCCCCUCUCCUAAUUCACUAAUUUGUAGGAAGGUACUGAACUUUUGGAUUUGAAAAAAGUUUCAGAAGAUAUAUCUAAUGUAGAUGGUGAUUGAUAGAGCAAUUCUUGCUCAUAAGUUCCUGUAUGAGUACUGCGCCUAACAUAAAGCUUGUGACUGGUAGUAAAACAUCUAUUUUUAUUUUGAGAUAGAGUUUGAUCCUCAACUAUUUCUCGCGAUAUCUUCUUACGAAGUUUUGUUAGGGCAUCUAUAACUGCCUCCGGUUUAGGUGGGCAGCCCGGCAAGUAGACAUCCACAGGAAUUAACUUAUCAACUCCCCGAACAGUACUAUAGGAAUCUGUACUGAACAUUCCCCCUGUAAUAGUACAGGCUCCCAUAGCAAUGACGUAUUUUGGUUCAGGCAUUUGCUCGUAUAAUCUCACUAAAGAGGGAGCCAUUUUCAUUGUUACCGUACCGGCUGUUAAAAUUAGGUCUGCUUGCCUAGGACUUGAUCUUGGUACCAAUCCAUAACGAUCAAAGUCGAAUCGUGAGCCUAUUAAUGAAGCAAAUUCAAUGAAACAACAACUGGUACCGUAUAGAAGGGGCCAUAAACUGGAGAGUCUUGACCAAUUCGAAAGAUCAUUUGGUGUAGUUGAAAUAACAGAAUUGGAAUUUGUUUGGUCAAGUAAGGGAAACUCAAUCAAAUUCAUAACUGUCUCAAUAGAAUCUUUUCCUUCUUUUUUUUGUCUAAAUAUUCAGUUAAGACCAUUCCAAGGCUCCUUUUCGCCAUGCAUAAACUAAACCAACAACUAAGAUAAGCACGAAAAUCAAAGCUUCAAUAAAAACGGAUACACCCAAUACGUCGAAACUCAUUGCCCAAGGGUAUAGAAAGACGGUUUCCACAUCAAAAACAACAAAAACGAGCGCAAACAUAUAAUAGCAUAUUCGGAAUUGUACCCAAGCCCCUCCCAUGGGUUCUAUACCCGAUUCAUAACUAGAAAGCUUCUCUGGUCCUUCACUAACCGGGGCUAAAAGUCCUGAAAUCGAAAAUGCCAAAAUAGGAAUAAGGCUUGCUAUUAUUAGAAAUGUCCAAAAAAAUAUCAUAUUCGUGAAGCAGAAACAUAAUGUACUCCCAUUAAUGUGGAAUAGCCGGAACUUAAAUUAGUCAAUUCAAUUCAGCAUUGUCAAUUUAUCCAGAACUUCUCUCUUUUCCUCGGUGAAACAAGAAUCUUUUUUGUUCAAACAAAAGCGCUUAGUUUAGCCUUUGUUUCCUCUAUGCUGCAUCUUCUUUAAAGAUUCAUCCAAUGGAAUCCCAACUCCCUUUCUUUUGGAUUUCCAUUCUAUUUAGAUAUGGUGUAUGUAGAUCUAAUUCUUAUAUAAAGAAAACUUUCUCAUUUCACUUUGUCUCGCUUUCUCUAGAAUCUAUCUUGCCGAGAUCUUCAUCCCUAAAGAUACUUGACAAUAGUAUUAUUGGAGUGGAUACACAACUCACAAAAAAUACAAGAAGUCGACUAGGCGGACUGGUCCGAGUGAAGAGAAAAAAAAGCCAUACGGAACUCAAAAUAUUUUCCGGAGAUAUUCAUUUUCCUGAAGAGGCGGAUAAGAUAUUAGGUGGCUGUUUGAUACCGCCAGAAAGACAAAAAAAAGAUUCUAAGGAAUCAAAAAAAAGGAAAAAUUGGGUCUAUGUUCAACGGAAAAAAAUUCUCAAGAGCAAGGAAAAGUAUUUUGUUUCCGUUCGCCCUACAGUGGCAUAUGAAAUGGACGAAGGAAGAAAUUUAGCAACACUUUUCCCGCAGGAUCUCUUGCAAGAAGAAAAUAAUCUCCAAAUUCGACUUGUCAAUUUUAUUUCUCAUGAAAAUAGCAAGUUAACUCAAAGAAUUUAUCACACAAAUAGUCAAUUUGUUAGAACUUGCUUAGUAGUGAAUUGGGAACAAGAAGAAAAAGAAAAGGCUGGUGCUUCCCUUGUUGAGGUAAGAGCAAAUGAUCUUAUUCGCGAUUUCCUAAGAAUUGAGUUAGUCAAGUCCACUAUUUCGUAUACAUGAAAAAGGUAUGGUAGGACAAGUGCAGGACCGAUUCCCCAUAAUAGGUUAGAUCGUGCCAAUAUCAAUACUUUUUAUUCCAAGGCGAAGAUUGAAUCACUUAGCCAACAUCCAGAAACUAUUGGCACUUUGUUGAAUCGAAAUAAAGAAUACCACUCUUUGAUGAUUUUGUCAGCAUCCAACUGUUCUCGAAUUGGUUUAUUCAAGAAUUUAAAACAUCCCAAUGCGAUAAAAGAAUGGAAUCCUAGAAUUCCUAUUCGAGAAAUUUUUGGGCCCUUAGGCGCUAUUGUAGCUAGUAUAUCGCAUUUUUCUUCAUCUUACUAUUUACUAACGCAUAAUAAAAUCCUGUUAAAAAAAUAUUUGUUCGUUGACAAUUUAAAACAAACCUUCCAAGUACUUCAAGAACUUAAAUACUCUUUAAUAGAUGAAAAUAAAAGGAUUUCUAAUUUCGAUAGUAACAUAAUGUUGGAUCCAUUCCUUUUGAAUUGUCACUUUGUCCAUCAUGAUUCUUGGGAAGAGACAUUGGCAAUAAUUCACCUUGGACAAUUUAUUUGUGAAAAUCUAUGUCUAUUUAAAUCUCACAUAAAAAAAUCCGGUCAAAUUUUCAUUGUAAAUAUGAAUUCCUUUGUUAUAAGAGCAGCUAAACCUUAUUUGGCCACUAGAGGAGCAACUGUUAAUGGUCAUUAUGGAGAAAUCCUUUACAAGGGAGAUAGGUUAGUUACGUUUAUAUAUGAAAAAUCAAGAUCUAGUGACAUAACUCAAGGUCUUCCAAAAGUGGAACAAAUCUUUGAAGCGCGUUCAAUUGAUUCAUUAUCCCCGAAUCUCGAAAGGAGAAUUGAGGAUUGGAAUGAGCGUAUACCAAGAAUUCUUGGGGUCCCUUGGGGAUUCUUGAUUGGAGCUGAGCUAACCAUAGCCCAAAGUCGUAUCUCUUUGGUUAAUAAAAUCCAAAAGGUUUAUCGAUCCCAAGGGGUACAGAUCCAUAAUAGACAUAUAGAGAUUAUUAUACGCCAAGUAACAUCAAAAGUGCGGGUUUCCGAAGAUGGAAUGUCUAAUGUUUUUUCGCCUGGGGAAUUAAUCGGACUAUUGCGAGCGGAACGAGCAGGACGAGCUUUGGAUGAAUCGAUCUAUUAUCGGGCAAUCUUAUUGGGAAUAACAAGGGCUUUCCUAAAUACCCAAAGUUUCAUAUCUGAAGCAAGUUUUCAAGAAGCUGCUCGAGUUUUAGCAAAAGCUGCCCUACGAGGUCGCAUUGGUUGGUUGAAAGGCUUGAAAGAAAACGUAGUUCUGGGGGGGAUUAUACUUGUUGGUACCGGAUUCCAAAAAUUUGUGCAACGUUCCCCACAAGACAAGAACCUUUAUUUUGAAAAAAAAAAUCUAUUCGCGUCGGAAAUGAGAGAUUUUUUGUUUCUCCAUACAGAAUUAGUUUCUUCAGAUUCUGACGUAACAAACAAUUUUUAUGAGACAUAAGAACCCCCAUUUAACAUUUAACCCUAUAUCAUUUAAGGAUACAUAAAAAAUAUUUUUUAUUUCAAGCUAUUUCGGAUCUUUCUUAAUCUUCAAAAAGAACUAAAUUCCGUAAUGGAAUGGUAGGAUUCAAGAAAAAGGAAGUGUGGAAAAAAUGACAAGAAGAUAUUGGAACAUUAAUUUGAAAGAGAUGAUAGAAGCAGGAGUUCAUUUUGGUCAUGGUAUUAAGAAAUGGAAUCCUAAAAUGGCCCCUUACAUUUCGGCAAAGCGUAAAGGUACUCAUAUUAUAAAUCUCACUAGAACGGCUCGUUUUUUAUCAGAAGCUUGUGAUUUAGUUUUUGAUGCAGCAAGUCAGGGAAAAAGUUUCUUAAUUGUUGGUACCAAAAAAAGAGCAACAGAUUUAGUAGCAUCAGCUGCAAUAAGGGCUCGUUGUCAUUAUGUUAAUAAAAAGUGGUUCAGUGGUAUGUUAAUGAAUUGGUCGAUUACGAAAACUAGACUUUCUCAAUUUAGAGACUUAAGAGCAGAAGAAAAAAUGGGAAAAUUCCACCAUCUCCCAAAAAGAGAUGUGGCAAUCUUGAAGAGAAAAUUAUCUACCUUGCAAAGGUAUCUCGGCGGGAUCAAAUAUAUGACGAGAUUGCCAGACAUUGUGAUCGUCCUUGAUCAGCAAAAAGAGUAUAUAGCUCUUCGGGAAUGUGCCAUUUUGGGGAUUCCUACUAUUUCUUUAGUCGAUACAAAUUGUGACCCGGAUCUCGCGAAUAUAUCGAUUCCAGCCAACGAUGACACUAUGACUUCAAUUCGAUUGAUUCUUAACAAAUUAGUAUUUUCAAUUUGUGAGGGCCGUUCUCUCUAUAUAAGAAAUCGUUGAUUAAGAAUAUAUAGUGAAUUCUUGGGCAACUGCGUAAAUUUAUGGAAUCACUUACUUUACUAUAUCUUUUUUUUUUGCAUAGAAUUUUUUUUGCAUAUAAAAAAGAAGGGGAAUAUUGAUAUAUAUUAGAGUGUAUUGAUAUAUAUUAUGAUCUGAUGUGCUUUCUUGGUAUCCUAAAUAUAAGAUUAAUACUUCAAGUUGCUGAGUUGAGAAAGAGAUGGUUGAAUCAAAAGAAUUCCUUUUUUGAAGUUCAAUUUUUAUCAGAGGACAAUAUGAAUAUUAUACCUUGUUCCAUUAAAACACUCAAGGGGUUAUACGAUAUAUCGGGUGUAGAAGUAGGCCAACACUUCUAUUGGCAAAUAGGAGGUUUCCAAAUUCAUGCCCAAGUACUCAUCACUUCUUGGGUCGUAAUUACUAUCUUGCUAGGUUCAGUUGUCAUAGCUGUUCGGAAUCCACAAACCAUCCCGACCGACGGUCAGAAUUUUUUUGAAUAUGUCCUUGAGUUUAUUCGAGACUUGAGCAAAACUCAGAUUGGAGAAGAAUAUGGUCCCUGGGUUCCCUUUAUUGGAACUAUGUUCCUUUUUAUUUUUGUAUAGAAUUUUUUUUGCAUAGAAAAAAGAAGGGGAAUAUUGAUAUAUAUUAGAGGGUAUUGAUAUAUAUUAUGAUCUGAUGUGCUUUCUUGGUAUCCUAAAUAUAAGAUUAAUACUUCAAGUUGCUGAGUUGAGAAAGAGAUGGUUGAAUCAAAAGAAUUCCUUUUUUGAAGUUCAAUUUUUAUCAGAGGACAAUAUGAAUAUUAUACCUUGUUCCAUUAAAACACUCAAGGGGUUAUACGAUAUAUCGGGUGUAGAAGUAGGCCAACACUUCUAUUGGCAAAUAGGAGGUUUCCAAAUUCAUGCCCAAGUACUCAUCACUUCUUGGGUCGUAAUUACUAUCUUGCUAGGUUCAGUUGUCAUAGCUGUUCGGAAUCCACAAACCAUCCCGACCGACGGUCAGAAUUUUUUUGAAUAUGUCCUUGAGUUUAUUCGAGACUUGAGCAAAACUAAGAUUGGAGAAGAAUAUGGUCCCUGGGUUCCCUUUAUUGGAACUAUGUUCCUUUUUAUUUUUGUUUCGAAUUGGUCGGGUGCUCUUUUACCUUGGAAAAUUAUAGAGUUACCCCAUGGGGAAUUAGCAGCGCCCACGAAUGAUAUAAAUACUACUGUUGCUUUAGCUUUACUCACGUCAGCGGCAUAUUUUUAUGCUGGUCUUAGCAAAAAAGGAUUGAGCUAUUUCGAGAAAUAUAUUAAACCAACUCCAAUCCUUUUACCAAUUAACAUCCUAGAAGAUUUCACAAAACCAUUAUCACUUAGCUUUCGACUUUUCGGGAAUAUAUUGGCGGAUGUUAAUUGGUAAAAGGAUUGGAGUUGGUUUAAUAUAUUUCUCGAAAUAGCUCAAUCCUUUUUUGCUAAGACCAGCAUAAAAAUAUGCCGCUGACGUGAGUAAAGCUAAAGCAACAGUAGUAUUUAUAUCAUUCGUGGGCGCUGCUAAUUCCCCAUGGGGUAACUCUAUAAUUUUCCAAGGUAAAAGAGCACCCGACCAAUUCGAAACAAAAAUAAAAAGGAACAUAGUUCCAAUAAAGGGAACCCAGGGACCAUAUUCUUCUCCAAUCUGAGUUUUGCUCAAGUCUCGAAUAAACUCAAGGACAUAUUCAAAAAAAUUCUGACCGUCGGUCGGGAUGGUUUGUGGAUUCCGAACAGCUAUGACAACUGAACCUAGCAAGAUAGUAAUUACGACCCAAGAAGUGAUGAGUACUUGGGCAUGAAUUUGGAAACCUCCUAUUUGCCAAUAGAAGUGUUGGCCUACUUCUACACCCGAUAUAUCGUAUAACCCCUUGAGUGUUUUAAUGGAACAAGGUAUAAUAUUCAUAUUGUCCUCUGAUAAAAACUGAACUUCAAAAAAGGAAUUCUUUUGAUUCAACCAUCUCUUUCUCAACUCAGCAACUUGAAGUAUUAAUCUUAUAUUUAGGAUACCAAGAAAGCACAUCAGAUCAUAAUAUAUAUCAAUACCCUCUAAUAUAUAUCAAUAUUCCCCUUCUUUUUUCUAUGCAAAAAAAAUUCUAUGCAAAAAAAAAAGAUAUAGUAAAGUAAGUGAUUCCAUAAAUUUACGCAGUUGCCCAAGAAUUCACUAUAUAUUCUUAAUCAACGAUUUCUUAUAUAGAGAGAACGGCCCUCACAAAUUGAAAAUACUAAUUAGUUAAGAAUCAAUCGAAUUGAAGUCAUAGUGUCAUCGUUGGCUGGAAUCGAUAUAUUCGCGAGAUCCGGGUCACAAUUUGUAUCGACUAAAGAAAUAGUAGGAAUCCCCAAAAUGGCACAUUCCCGAAGAGCUAUAUACUCUUUUUGCUGAUCAAGGACGAUCACAAUGUCUGGCAAUCUCGUCAUAUAUUUGAUCCCGCCGAGAUACCUUUGCAAGGUAGAUAAUUUUCUCUUCAAGAUUGCCACAUCUCUUUUUGGGAGAUGGUGGAAUUUUCCCAUUUUUUCUUCUGCUCUUAAGUCUCUAAAUUGAGAAAGUCUAGUUUUCGUAAUCGACCAAUUCGUUAACAUACCACUGAACCACUUUUUAUUAACAUAAUGACAAGAAGAUAUUGGAACAUUAAUUUGAAAGAGAUGAUAGAAGCAGGAGUUCAUUUUGGUCAUGGUAUUAAGAAAUGGAAUCCUAAAAUGGCCCCUUACAUUUCGGCAAAGCGUAAAGGUACUCAUAUUAUAAAUCUCGCUAGAACGGCUCGUUUUUUAUCAGAAGCUUGUGAUUUAGUUUUUGAUGCAGCAAGUCAGGGAAAAAGUUUCUUAAUUGUUGGUACCAAAAAAAGAGCAACAGAUUUAGUAGCAUCAGCUGCAAUAAGGGCUCGUUGUCAUUAUGUUAAUAAAAAGUGGUUCAGUGGUAUGUUAACGAAUUGGUCGAUUACGAAAACUAGACUUUCUCAAUUUAGAGACUUAAGAGCAGAAGAAAAAAUGGGAAAAUUCCACCAUCUCCCAAAAAGAGAUGUGGCAAUCUUGAAGAGAAAAUUAUCUACCUUGCAAAGGUAUUUCGGCGGGAUCAAAUAUAUGACGAGAUUGCCAGACAUUGUGAUCGUCCUUGAUCAGCAAAAAGAGUAUAUAGCUCUUCGGGAAUGUGCCAUUUUGGGGAUUCCUACUAUUUCUUUAGUCGAUACAAAUUGUGACCCGGAUCUCGCGAAUAUAUCGAUUCCAGCCAACGAUGACACUAUGACUUCAAUUCGAUUGAUUCUUAACAAAUUAGUAUUUUCAAUUUGUGAGGGCCGUUCUCUCUAUAUAAGAAAUCGUUGAUUAAGAAUAUAUAGUGAAUUCUUGGGCAACUGCGUAAAUUUAUGGAAUCACUUACUUUACUAUAUCUUUUUUUUUGCAUAGAAUUUUUUUUGCAUAGAAAAAAGAAGGGGAAUAUUGAUAUAUAUUAGAGGGUAUUGAUAUAUAUUAUGAUCUGAUGUGCUUUCUUGGUAUCCUAAAUAUAAGAUUAAUACUUCAAGUUGCUGAGUUGAGAAAGAGAUGGUUGAAUCAAAAGAAUUCCUUUUUUGAAGUUCAGUUUUUAUCAGAGGACAAUAUGAAUAUUAUACCUUGUUCCAUUAAAACACUCAAGGGGUUAUACGAUAUAUCGGGUGUAGAAGUAGGCCAACACUUCUAUUGGCAAAUAGGAGGUUUCCAAAUUCAUGCCCAAGUACUCAUCACUUCUUGGGUCGUAAUUACUAUCUUGCUAGGUUCAGUUGUCAUAGCUGUUCGGAAUCCACAAACCAUCCCGACCGACGGUCAGAAUUUUUUUGAAUAUGUCCUUGAGUUUAUUCGAGACUUGAGCAAAACUCAGAUUGGAGAAGAAUAUGGUCCCUGGGUUCCCUUUAUUGGAACUAUGUUCCUUUUUAUUUUUGUUUUGAAUUGGUCGGGUGCUCUUUUACCUUGGAAAAUUAUAGAGUUACCCCAUGGGGAAUUAGCAGCGCCCACGAAUGAUAUAAAUACUACUGUUGCUUUAGCUUUACUCACGUCAGCGGCAUAUUUUUAUGCUGGUCUUAGCAAAAAAGGAUUGAGCUAUUACGAGAAAUAUAUUAAACCAACUCCAAUCCUUUUACCAAUUAACAUCCUAGAAGAUUUCACAAAACCAUUAUCGCUUAGCUUUCGACUUUUCGGGAAUAUAUUGGCGGAUGAAUUAGUCGUUGUUGUUCUUGUUUCUUUAGUCCCCUUAGUAAUCCCUAUACCGGUCAUGUUUCUUGGAUUAUUUACAAGCGGUAUUCAAGCUCUUAUUUUUGCAACAUUAGCCGCAGCCUAUAUAGGUGAAUCCAUGGAGGGUCAUCAUUGAAUUGACUCUUUUUGGAAAUAGUAUUUUUUUUGCAGCUUAGCUCAAUACAUGCAUGGUUCCAGAUAAUCUGCUUGGUUGCAAAAAAAUAGUUAGAAAUGCGUAUGAAUAUAUAGCCUAGAGUUGUAGGAGAGAGAAUAGAAUAGACUAUAUUAUGGAAUUUUCAAAGUAUAUAUGCAUUAAGGAGGGUGGAGUCAGGCUAGAUCUAUACUAUAAUAUCCUUAAUGUCUAUAAUUGGAGUCCUCUUUUAUGCAGGUUUCCACUAUAAGCAAUGAUUUUAGAAUCCGAUUCAAUAGAAAAUGAGAAAAUAUGCAAACAAAAUAGAAGAAACAAAUGUAUAUAUAUAGGAUAUUAUAUUAUAUAUUCCUGGGCUAGAUUCAUUAUCUAAUCCGAUAUAUGGAUAUGGAAUUCCCUUGUAUGUAGUUCGGACAAUUCACAUUAUCAUUUCAAUUUGAUUUCAAUUUGUACUUUUUAGUUACUUUACUUCUCCCCAAUAGAGCUUAGAAGUAAGAAUUUAUUGGUUGAUUGUAUCCUUAACCAUUUCUUUUUUUUGACACGAGGAACUACUCACCAUGAAUGCACUAAUUGCUGCUGCUUCUGUUAUUGCUGCUGGAUUGGCCGUAGGGCUUGCUUCUAUUGGACCUGGAGUUGGUCAAGGUACUGCUGCAGGACAAGCUGUAGAAGGUAUUGCGAGACAGCCAGAAGCAGAAGGUAAAAUACGAGGUACUUUAUUUCUUAGUCUAGCUUUUAUGGAAGCUUUAACAAUUUAUGGACUAGUUGUGGCACUAGCGCUUUUAUUUGCGAACCCUUUUGUUUAAUCUUAAAAAAUUCUUUCGAUUUCGAUUAGAUACUUUUUUUUUCUUUUUUAGUAAAUUGGUAUUUGCUUCCGCAAUUCCAAUUAUAUCAAUACUUUAUUUAAUUUACUCCUAUUUAUUACUCCUGGAAUUAUCUAUUUAUCGGGACAGAUAAUACCCCAUUCUAGGAAGGGCUGAGUUGAGUAUUAUUAAUUUAGAAGAUAUGCUCACCUUCUUAUUUCCCGUCCUUAGUUUAGGAAAGUGGAAUGUUUUUUCCUUUUAUUUUAGGAAUUUUGGGAACAGAACAUUUCAACAAAGGAAGUCUUUCACCGGUCAAACAAGACGUAAGACUUAAUCUAAAAGAAAUUACUAGAUUGAAUCUAUUUGCAUUAAAAAAACCGAUCAAAAAAGGGCGAGCGAAGUAAGUGAUCGAAAAACUUUGUUCUUUGUUCGUCCUAUCUAUAAGAGGAGAGCAUAUGAAAAAUGUAACCCAUUCUUUCGUUUUUUUAGCUCACUGGCCAUCCACUGGCAGUUUCGGGCUUAAUACCGAUAUUUUAGCAACAAAUCUAAAAGUCUAACUGUAGUGGUUGGUGUUUUGAUUUUUUUGGAAAGGGAGUGUGUGCGAGUUGUCUAUUUCAAGAAUAGAUUGGAUCUAUCCGGCUGCACUUUAUAAUAUUUUUUAGUAUUUUUCGGAUAAAUAAGAAAAGGGUGCACGAUCUCGACGAAUUACUUCUGAAUAAAUUCAGAAAUCAUAUGGAAGAACCAUAGCAUUUCGCGACUCAUUGGUAAAUCAACUUUGAUUCUCUAUAAACCAAGAAUGUGAGACCAUUAACAUGGUUAAAGCUAAACUGCUUGAAGUCCAGGCAAAAAGAGGUACUCUUUCUACAACUAUAUUAGUAUUAGUACCGAAUUUAAACGGGAAAUAGCUAAUGUAAAAUUUAUCUGAUAUAGAACACUCAUAUCGAUAAAAUGGUUUGAACUAUUUACUAGAAAAAAAAGGGGGCACCCUACCCUUUUUUAACCAAUGCCGAAUCGACGACCUAUGUAUAAAAAAGAGAAAUUUUUUGGAUUUGAAGAAAAAAAUAAAAAAGAAUUCUAUUAAUUUUCAUUUUCCAUUUAUUUAGUUAGUUUUUCUUAAUGAAAUUGAAAUUAUUAACUAGAGGGCAAAUAAAAAUAAAGAAACAACUUUGCUGACCAUGAUAUAUUUUUAUCUAGGCGGAAGAGUCCUCUUAAUAUUUAUCUAGUCUUAUAUAGGUUUCGGUAUAUUGAAAUAUAAACAUAAAAAAGAAGAUAGAGGAUAGGCUCAUUACUUAAAAAAAAGAUAUGGAAAUAGCUAUAGAAAAAAAAGGAGCGUGAGAGCCAAAUGAAUCGAAAGAUUCAUGUUUGGUUCGGGAAGAGAUCAUAAAAGUUGUAAACUUACAAAAUAAUCUACUUUCAUUAAAAGAUUUAUUAGAUAAACAAAAACAGAGGAUCUUGAGUACUAUUUGAAAUUCAGAAGAAUUGCGUAGAGGGACCAUUGAGCAACUCGAAAAAGCUCGGAUUCGAUUACAGAAAGUCGAACUAGAAGCGGAUGAGUAUCGAAUGAAUGGAUACUCUGAGAUAGAACGAGAAAAAUCAAAUUUGAUUAAUGCUACUUCUAUUAGUUUGGAACAAUUGGAAAAGUCUAAAAACGAAACCCUUUAUUUUGAAAAACAAAGGGCAAUGAAUCAGGUUCGACAGCGGGUUUUCCAACAGGCCGUACAAGGAGCUCUAGGAACUCUGAAUAGUUGUUUGAAUACCGAGUUACAUUUCCGUACGAUUCGUGCUAAUAUUGGCAUUCUCGGGUCCCUGGAAUGGAAUAGAUAAUUAAAUUAAUUAGGCCUUGAACUUCUACUUUCGUUUAGAAUUUAGGCAUUAUUUUUCCCCUUGCUUCCGAGAAAAGAGUCAGAAACACUAAUGGCAACCCUUCGAGUCGACGAAAUUCAUAAAAUUCUCCGCGAACGUAUUGAACAAUAUAAUAGGAAAGUAGGGAUUGAGAAUAUAGGUCGCGUAGUUCAAGUGGGGGAUGGGAUUGCUCGUAUUAUAGGUCUUGGUGAAAUAAUGUCAGGUGAAUUAGUCGAAUUUGCAGAAGGUACUAGGGGUAUUGCUCUGAAUUUGGAAUCCAAAAAUGUUGGGAUUGUAUUAAUGGGCGAUGGGUUGAUGAUACAAGAGGGAAGUUUUGUAAAAGCAACAGGAAGAAGUGCUCAGAUACCCGUGAGUGAGGCUUACUUGGGUCGUGUUGUAAAUGCUCUGGCUAAACCUAUUGAUGGGAAAGGCGAAAUUAUAGCUUCCGAAUCUCGCUUAAUUGAAUCUCCUGCUCCAAGUAUAAUUUCCAGGCGUUCCGUAUACGAACCUCUUCAAACAGGGCUUAUUGCUAUCGAUUCGAUGAUCCCUAUAGGGCGCGGUCAGCGAGAGUUAAUUAUUGGGGACAGACAGACUGGCAAAACAGCAGUAGCCACAGAUACAAUUCUCAAUCAAAAAGGCCAAGGUGUAAUAUGUGUUUAUGUAGCUAUCGGUCAAAGGGCAUCCUCCGUAGCUCAAGUAGUAACUACUUUCCACGAGGAGGGGGCUAUGGAAUACACUAUUGUAGUAGCUGAAAUGGCGGAUUCACCUGCUACAUUACAAUACCUCGCUCCUUAUACGGGAGCAGCCCUGGCUGAGUAUUUUAUGUACCGCGAACGGCAUACUUUAAUAAUUUAUGAUGAUCUCUCCAAACAGGCACAAGCUUAUCGCCAAAUGUCCCUUCUAUUAAGAAGACCUCCCGGCCGUGAGGCUUAUCCAGGGGAUGUUUUUUAUUUGCAUUCACGCCUUUUAGAAAGAGCCGCUAAAUUAAAUUCUCUUUUAGGCGAAGGAAGUAUGACCGCUUUACCAAUAGUUCAGACUCAAUCUGGAGACGUUUCCGCCUAUAUUCCUACUAAUGUAAUCUCCAUUACAGAUGGACAAAUAUUCUUAUCUGCGGAUCUAUUCAAUGCCGGAAUUCGACCCGCUAUUAAUGUGGGUAUUUCUGUUUCCAGAGUAGGAUCCGCGGCUCAAAUUAAAGCCAUGAAACAAGUAGCUGGCAAAUCAAAAUUGGAACUAGCGCAAUUCGCAGAGUUACAAGCCUUUGCACAAUUCGCCUCUGCUCUCGAUAAAACAAGUCAGAAUCAAUUGGCAAGGGGUCGACGAUUAAGGGAAUUUCUUAAAUAAUCCCAGGCAAAUCCUCUCCCAGUGGAAGAGCAGAUAGCUACUAUUUAUACCGGAACAAGAGGAUAUCUUGAUUCGUUAGAAAUUCAACAGGUAAAUAAAUUUCUGGAUGAGUUACGUAAACAUCUAAAAGAUACUAAACCUCAAUUCCAAGAAAUUAUAUCUUCUAGCAAGACAUUCACCGAGCAAGCGGAAAUCCUUUUGAAGGAAGCUAUUCAGGAACAGCUGGAACGGUUUUCUCUUCAGUAACAAAUAAAUUUUGCAUGUCUACUCUUGUUAGUAGAAUAGGAAUCAUUGAGAAAGCUUUUUCAUUUGAAUCAUGCAAAAAAGUUUUCUUUGUUUUUAGUUUAGUAUAGUUAUUUAAAGAAUAGAUAGAAAUAAGAUUGCGUCCAAUAGGAUUUGAACCUAUACCAAAGGUUUAGAAGACCUCUGUCCUAUCCAUUAGACAAUGGACGCUUUUCUUUCAUAUUUUAUUCUUUCUUUUAUUUUUUUGCUUCUUCCGAGAAAAAACUGUUAGACCAAAACUCUUUUAGGAAAUCAAAAAAUCCAGAUACAAAUGCAUGAUGUAUAUAUUAUAUCAUGCAUAUAUCAUAAAGAAGGAGUAUGGAGGCGGUAGUGGGAAUCGAACCCGCAACCCCAAGGUUAUGAGCCUUAUGAGCUACCAAACUGCUCUAUACUCUUAAACUAAAGAGGGGUAACUAGUGGAUAAAAGAGGGUUGGAUACGCCCCUCUACCAAUAUCUAUACAAAUAGAAUAGUCCAUUUAUACAGAGUGGUAAAGAGGGCUCCCAUCAAUUCCAGAAAUCCAUACAAAUACGAAAGGGUAUUUUAUCCUUACCAACUGGAUCUUGUUGCACCCGGUAACAAACACUCAUAAACCAUUUCUCGAAGUACGUGUCCGGAUAGCCCAAAAUGUCGAUAGUUAGCUCUAGGUCUUCCGGUCAAAAAACAACGUCGAUGAAGGCGUGUAGGUGCACUAUUACGCGGUAGGGAUUGCAAUUUUUCUCGCAUUUUCGUUUUUUCACUCAAACUCAAGGGAGAAACUUUGCUUCUUAUCUUUUUUUUAAAGAUUGACGAAUCAAAUGAUAUUUCUGUUCUAAUUUCUGCCGCUUCUUCUCCCUCUGAAUCAAACUUUUUUUUGCCAUAAUGUGUCGUUGCUAUUAUUACCAAGUAUACGGUUCUAAUCCUAGAUGGAAAAAUAAAUAGAAAAAGAAAUCUAAAAAGGCAGAUCCUCCCUCUCUAUCAAGAGUAAUGAACUAGGUGCUGAUACAGUACAAAAAAACAAACUAAAUUAACCAAACUUGCCUGAUGUUGAGGCAAUCAAGAAAGCUGCAUAAGUGAAUAUAUAACCCACGGAAAAGUGAGCUAAUCCAACCAAUCUUGCUUGCACAAUGGAAAGAGCCACGGGCUUAUCUCUCCAGCGAAUUAAAUUAGCUAAAGGUGGGCGUUCAUGAGCCCAUGCUAAAGUCUCAAUUAAUUCCUGCCAAUACCCCCGCCAGGAAAUUAAGAACAUAAAUCGAGUAGCCCAAACAAGAUGUCCAAAUAAGAACAUCCACGCCCAUACCGAUAAACUAUUCAUCCCAAAAGGAUUAUAUCCAUUGAUAAGUUGUGAAGAGUUUAACCAUAGGUAAUCUCUUAACCAUCCCAUCAAAUAAGUGGAGGAUUCAUUAAAUUGUGAAACGUUGCCCUGCCAUAAUGUGAUAUGUUUCCAAUGCCAAUAAAAAGUAACCCACCCAAUGGUAUUUAACAUCCAGAAAACUGCCAAAUAAAAUGCGUCGCAAGCAGAAAUAUCACAAGUACCGCCGCACCCUGGGCCGUCACAAGGAAAACUAUAUCCAAAAUCCGUUUUAUCUGGCAUUAAUUUGGAACCGCGUGCAUCUAAAGCGCCCUUUACUAAAAUCAAUGUAGUUGUAUGCAAACCUAGAGCAAUAGCAUGAUGAACCAAGAAAUCCCCAGGUCCUAUUGUUAAGAAAAGCGAAUUACUAUUCUCAUUAACAGCAUUCAACCAUCUGGGCAACCAUAGGCUUCGACCCGCAUUGAAAGCGGGGCCAUUCGUUGAAGAUAAGAGUAUAUCGAACCCAUAUGUCGUCUUGCCAUGAGCAGAUUGUAUCCAUUGGGCAAAUAUAGGUUCGAUCAAGAUUUGCUUUUCUGGAGUACCAAAAGCAAGCAUGACGUCGUUAUGAACAUAAAGGCCCAAGGUAUGGAAUCCUAGAAAGAGGCUAGCCCAAAUUAAAUGAGAUAUGAUAGCUUCUUUAUGGUCUAACAUUCUUGCCAAUACAUUAUCCUCAUCCUGUUCCGGAUUGUAAUCCCUAAUGAAAAAAUAGCUCCAUGAGCAAAAGCCCCUGUCAUGAUGAACCCUGCAAUAUAUUGGUGAUGAGUAUAUAAAGCAGCUUGAGUAGUAAAGUCUUGUGCUAUGAAUGCAUAAGGAGGUAAAGAGUACAUAUGUUGAGCUACUAAGGAAGUAAUAACCCCUAAAGAAGCUAGAGCAAGACCUAACUGAAAAUGAAUCAAAUUGUUGAUUGUGUCAUAAAGGCCCUUAUGCCCACGCCCUAAUCGACCCCCCGGAGGAGUAUGCGCUUCUAAAAGAUCUUUAAUACUGUGCCCAAUUCCGAAGUUAGUUCGAUACAUGUGACCGGCAAUGAGAAAAAUAAAUGCAAUAGCUAAAUGAUGGUGAGCCAUAUCGGUCGGCCACAAACUUUGCGUUUGUGGAUGGAAUCCCCCAAGAAGAGUUAGAAUGGCAGUUCCCGCUCCUUGACCGGUACCAAAUAAAUGAUUACUCGAAUCAGGGUUUUGGGCAUAAAGAUUCCAUUGACCCGUCAAAAGGGGUCCCAACCCCUGGGAUAGGGUAAUACAUCUAAGAAAUUAUUCCAUCGAACGUACUCCCCCUGGAUGCGGGAAUAGCAACAUGAACUAAAUGUCCUGUCCAAGCCAAAGAACUUACCCCGAAAAGUCCUGACAAAUGAUGAUUGAGACGAGAUUCCGCGUUUUUGAACCACGAAAGGCUUGGUUUCCAUUUGGGUUGUAGAUGUAACCAACCCGCUAUUAAGGACAGCGUAGAAAUAAAUAAUAGAAAAAGAGCUCCAGUAUAAAGAUCCUCAUUGGUGCGUAAUCCUAUUGUAUACCACCACUGAUAAACUCUAGAAUAAGCAAUAUUCACUGGACCAGCAGCACCUCCUCGAGUAAAGGCUUCCACGGCGGGUUGACCAAAAUGAGGAUCCCAAAUCGCAUGAGCAAUAGGUCUUACGUGUAAAUGAUCCUGUAUCCAUGAUUCAAAAUUUCCUUGCCAAGCUACAUGAAACAUAUUUCCGGACGUCCAUAGAAAGAUUAUUGCUAAUUGCCCAAAGUGAGAAGCAAAAAUGUUCUGAUAAAGACGUUCUUCAGUAAUAUCAUCAUGACUUUCGAAAUCAUGUGCGGUAGCAAUACCAAUCCAAAUACGACGAGUAGUGGGGUCCUGAGCUAAGCCUUGGCUAAACCUGGGAAAUCUUAAUUCCAUAAUGCCUUUCAAAUCCUCCUAGCCACUAUCCUACUGCAAUAAUUCUCGCUAAGAAGAAUGCCCAUGUCGUGGCAAUUCCACCCAGAAGGUAAUGGGUUACUCCUACAGCACGUCCUUGUAUAAUGCUCAAGGCUCUAGGAUGAGUAGCAGGAGCAACUUUUAAUUUGUUAUGAGCCCAAACGAUAGAUUCAAUGAGUUCUUGCCAAUAACCACGGCCGCUGAAUAAAAACAUUAAACUGAAGGCCCAGACAAAAUGAGCACCUAAGAAAAAAAGACCAUAUGCAGAUAAUGAAGAACCAUAAGACUGAAUGACUUGCGAUGCCUGUGCCCACAAGAAAUCUCGAAGCUACCCAUUAAUCGUAAUGGAACUCUGUGCAAAGUUUCCCCCUGUAAUAUGAGUUACCACCCCUUGAUCACUUAUAGUACCCCAAACAUCCGACUGCAUUUUCCAACUGAAAUGGAAAAUGACUACCGAAAUUGCAUUGUACAUCCAGAAUAAACCUAAGAAAACAUGAUCCCAGGCGGAUACUUGACAUGUUCCCCCUCGGCCAGGCCCAUCGCAAGGAAAGCGAAAACCUAGAUUUGCUUUAUCGGGUAUCAAACGGGAACUCCGAGCAAAUAAAACACCUUUCAAAAGUAUUAAUACAGUCACAUGUAUGGUAAAUGCAUGAAUGUGAUGGACUAAAAAAUCUGCGGUUCCUAAUGGAAUAGGUAACAAAGCAACUUUGCCACCUACUGCUACUAACUCGCCGCCUCCCACGUUAAGCUAGUACUUGUUGUUGCACCAGGAGCUGUUACGCCAGGCGCAGUAGCAUGGAUAUUUGUACCCAUUGAGCAAAGAUAGGUUGUAAUUGUAUGGCAGUAUCCGAAAACAUAUCUUGUGGACGGCCUAAAGCACUCAUGGUAUCAUUAUGAAUGUACAAGCCAAAACUGUGAAAACCUAGAAAUAUACAUACCCAGUUAAGGUGGGAUAUGAUUGCAUCGCGGUGUCUAAGGACGCGAUCUAAUAGAUCGUUGUAUCGAGUAGUUGGAUCAUAGUCUCUUACCAUAAAAAUUGCUGCAUGUGCAGCAGCACCGACUAUUAGAAAUCCGCCAAUCCACAUGUGGUGUGUGAACAAGGAAAGUUGUGUACCAUAGUCAGUAGCUAGGUAUGGAUAGGGAGGCAUAGAAUACAUAUGAUGAGCUACAACAAUGGUUGUAGAGCCUAGCAUAGCUAGGUUAAGAGAUAAUUGAGCAUGCCAUGACGUUGUUAAGAUUUCAUAAAGACCCUUAUGGCCUUGUCCUGUAAAUGGGCCCUUGUGAGCCUCCAAAAUAUCUUUAAGUCCAUGGCUAAUACCCCAAUUGGUCCUAUACAUAUGACCUGCGAUUAGGAAAAGAAUAGCAAUAGCUAAAUGAUGGUGCACAAUAUCGGUCAGCCAGAGACCACCGGUUACUGGAUCUAGUCCUCCGCGAAAAGUCAGAAAUUCUGCGUAUUUGGACCAAUUUAAAGUGAAAAAAGGGGUUGCUCCUUCGGCAAAACUAGGAUAAAGUUGAGCCAAAAGGUAUCAUUGAUCGUACUAGCACCUUGUUUCUUCUCAACUUUAGGGUGCAGAAGAAGCUGCAUGGAAAGCUGAAGCAGCUCAGAAGCGAGCAGGCAGACGUAUGUAUGGCUCCAGGAGCGGUGCAAAUGAUGAAUGACCAAGAGCUGUUCCAGCAUGAACCCUCUGCGUGUCUCACAAUUACUACAUUUGUUGAGACGGUCAAAUUUGUGGAUUUUUUCCGUGAAACUACGACAGGCGAAAUCCGGCCUUAUACCCUAUCCAACAAAAGAGAAUCAAAGUUCUUUAGGGCAUGUUUGGUUGCAGUUUGCAACAGUAGUUGCAUUGCAUGUCCAUCUUCAACCAGUCUGGUUGAUGAAAUGCAGCCUCAUAUGCAGCAGAUGCAACCUAUUUGGUUGCCUGCAUCGCAUGGAGAGGCACUUACCCCCUGCUGUUUGGUUGCCGUUUUUGUGCUUAGGGUGUGAGCAGAUGCAAACUUCAGCUGUUUGGUUUCAAACAGUGUUUGUGUUCUGCUCACCCCAUUCAAAUGUGGUGGCCUUACCACCACAUGAUCAACACAACAACAACAGCACAACAGCAGGCAACCAAAUGAAAUCAAACACAGCAAGCAAACUACUUAACUACAUAGCAUAAGUCUAGAUUAACAGCAGGGGCAUCCUCCUUCCCUGCUCCAUGCCAGGGUGCUGCUCCUGGCCAAAAUAUGAACAAGUUCCCAGCUCAAGUCUCGCCACACACCAUAAAAGUUCUCCACUAACACCUUACUUAACUUAACUACAUAGCCUGCUCGAUGUUACCAAUGCAAUUGUGCCUGCUGCAACGAAACCUGCACAUGACCGAGGAGUCGUGGUUGUAGAUCUGAACCUUCAGUCCGAGUCCUGAGAUGCGCACAACGGUGAGGUCGCCGGGGACGAUCUGGUGGCGGCGGCAGAAGUAGUUCCAGCCCCAGCCAAGCACCAUGUGCCCCUCGAAGUUUUGGACCUGCACCCAGAACACACAUCGCUUGUUCGCCGACAGCCUGACCACGCGCGGGAGCCGCUUGAUGACCAGCCAUGUGUUCAUCACCUCCACGAACUUGCGAGGGACGACGAGCAUGGAGAGGUCCUCGUUGUCCUUGAUCUGCUGGUAGAAGCGCAUCGGCUCCCUGGCCUUCUCCUCAUGGCCCUGCCUCGGAGAUCGUCCCCUUGAGCGAGGCAGGCUCAUGAAGGCGAUCCUGCCAGGCAGGUCCACCGUCCUGAGCCACCUGUUUGUGGGGAUGAAAUCCUCAGCGCGCUCAGCUCCGGCCACCACCUGAGCUCCUCCUCCCGCCACAUCCCAAUCAGUCUUCAGUAUCUUGUCAGGUAAGAUGACAAGUAUUAGUGCACAAACUCUUUGCAAAAUGGCACUGAUCAGAGACAUUUUCCCAAGAGCAAAUGCCACUGAUCAGUACACAAACUCUUUGAGCAAAUGCCACUUAUCAAUGGCACUUGUUGUUAGGAAAAUGACACUGAUCAGUGGCACUGAUAAGUGGACUUGCCCAUUAGCAAGUGCCAUUGAUAAGUGGCAUUUGCCUAUGAGAAAAUGCCACUUAUGAAUGACACUUGUGUUGUUGGGCAAAUGCCACUGAUCAGUGGCACCGAUCAGUUGACUUGCUGUUGGGCAAGUCCACUGAUCAGUGGCAUCAGCUUUGUUGCAACUGGCACUCAUCACUACACUAUCCUAACCAUGGAAACAUCUAAAAAUAGCAACAACAAGUGCCAAUAGCACCCAUGUGCAGCCAUGCAGAUUUGGCACCAUCCUAAAAUGGUCCUACUACAUGCACGUAUAACAUUCAACACAAACCCUAGCUUGAACAUGUAUGUUAGCAACAUGAAACAUGAACAUGAUCCUAGCUUGAACAUGUAUGUUAGCAACAUGAAACAUGAACAUGAUCCUAGCUUGAACAUGAACAUGCCAUCAGUCAACAUGAUUCUAGCAUUCAUCAGUCAACAAGAACAUGUCGUAAGUAUAACAUUCAUCAGUUAACAUGAACAUGAUUGUAGCAUGAACACAGCUACUAGCAUGAACACAGAUCAUAGGACACAACAGUAGCACAAGAAAAUUAUCCUGCCACACACACAUUGUACAAAACAAGAACAGAUCAGUCCGAUUGGAUUCGAUUGGGAUCGCAUCCAAUCGGAUCUGCUACAAUCCUAUCGAAUCCACUAACUACUAGUAGAUGCCUAAGAAAUAAACCCCUAAUCUACAUCUACAAGCAAGCAUUGAGGGGGUUUGACUCACCGGAGCACGCGCAGCCGCGGCGAACCGAGGCCGGGGUGAAAACCCCGGCGGGAAGGAGAGAGGUGGCGGAGCAGAGGAGGAGACGGUCUUGGCGACGGCCUGCGACAUCGGCCCCGUGCUCAAAGCCACGCCGGAGGUCGAGGAGGACGGCCCGCUGUCGGUGUCAAAACCGGCGGAUCUCGGGUAGGGGGUCCCGAACUGUGCGUCUAAGGCGGAUGGUAACAGGAGGUGGGGGACACAAUGUUUACCCAGGUUCGGGCCCUCUCGAUGGAGGUAAUACCCUACUUCCUGCUUGAUUGAUCUUGAUGAUAUGAGUAUUACAAGAGUUGAUCUACCACGAGAUCGUAGAGGCUAAACCCUAGAAGCUAGCCUAUGAUUAUGAUUGUUGUUGUCCUACGGACUAAACCCUCCGGUUUAUAUAGACACCAGAGGGGGCUAGGGUUACACAGAGUCGGUUACAAGGGAGG